CUAGUCAAAGAGGUCCUUAAAAACAGUGACAAAGCUUUUCGAAAGCCAAAGAUUUCAUAUUUCUUCGACAAGCUAAUAGGCGAUGGGCUUGCUUCAACCGAACGUGAGAAAUGGGCAAGGCAAAGGAAACUGGCCAAUUAUGCCUUUCAUGGGGAGAGCUUAGAAGUAAAUCAUCUCUACCUUCUAAUCUAAUUAUUGUAGUGGGACAUUUACAAACUUGAUAAUUUUUUGCAGAAUAUGACUCCAGCAGUAGUUGCUAGCGUUGAAACCAUGCUUGAGAAAUGGAAAAGUAAGGAGGGCAAAGAGAUAGAAGUGUUCCAAGAGUUCAGAUUAUUGACUUCAGAAGUGAUAUCCAGAACCGCCUUUGGUAGCAGUUACUUGGAAGGGGAGAAGAUUUUUGACAUGCUGAUGAAGUUGACAGUAAUUGCGGGCAGAAAUAUUUUAAAAGCAAAGAUUCCCAUCAUCAGGUAACUUCAUCAAAUCUUUACUUUGUUAAUCAACAUACUUCAGCUUACAAUGGGUUGAUUUAAUCUGGUUGUCCUUUUCAGCAAGUUUUGGAAAUCUGCUGAUGAAAUUGAAUCAGAAAGAAUUGCCAAAAUGAUACAUGAUUCUGUGAUGAGGAUUGUUAAAAAAAGGGAAGAGAGAGUAGUGAACGGAGAAGCUGAUAACUUCGGUCGUGAUUUUCUGGGAUUACUUGUAAAUGCUUAUCAUGAGGCGGACCAGAAAAACAGGCUUUCGAUUCAAGAUAUGGUAGAUGAGUGCAAAACUUUUUAUUUUGCUGGGCAAGAAACAGUCAAUUCCUUGCUUGCAUGGGCAACUCUGCUUUUAGCAAUACACACCGAUUGGCAAGACAAAGCAAGAGCAGAGGUGAUUGAGGUCUUUGGUAAUCAAAAGCCAGAUUCUGAAGGGAUGGCCAAAUUAAAGACGGUAAGCAAACUAUACAAAUUCAAUAGCUUGAAAACUAGCACUGACCAUUUAUAUUGCCUUUUGGAUUUCUUUUUCUCCAACAGAUGACCAUGAUUAUCAAUGAAACUUUACGGCUCUAUCCUCCUUUAAAUCGCGUGAUAAGAGAAGUAGGAAGAGAAGUCCAAUUAGGAAAACUUGUCCUGCCUACUCAUUUAGAGGUCGACAUGCGAAUCAUAGCACUUCACCAUGACCCUGACUUAUGGGGAGAUGAUGUUAAUCUUUUCAAACCAGAGAGGUUUGCUGAAGGGAUAGCAAAAGCUACUAAGUACAAUGCAGCUGCAUUUAUGCCUUUUGGAUUGGGAUCUCGAUCUUGCGUUGGCAUGAGCUUUGCAAUCACUGAAGCGAAAACUGCACUUUCCAUGAUUCUGCAACGCUACACUGUCACCGUCUCCCCUACCUACGUUCACGCUCCUGUACCAAGUCUUACACUCAAGCCACAACAUGGGAUGCAGUUGUUGUUUCAUUCACUACAUUAUGAUGCUUAAAAUUCUAGGCUGUUGGUCUCCAAUAUAGUAAUAUAUAAUAAAAUGUGGAUGAUACUGUAUUUUGCAACCAUACGAUGAUAUAUGGUUUGGGGAUUUCAUGUUUUGGCAACAGGAUUAUAUGCUUUUUUUUUUUUUUGUUGAUAUUGUUAAAGGUUAAAAGGGUAUUACAGCAAACAUCGCCACCGCAGGAGCAGGCCCUACAGUCCUGUGAAUAACAUAAUUAGGUGUCUUUCUUCCAUUACUACUGCAGUAGUGAGGUUUUUAUUCCACUUAGUUCCAUUCUUCCGGAGUGUCUGCUUGAAACACACACUCCUGGAGCCGGCCAUUACAUUGCUUGUUUAGCUUUCAUGGAAGGCUCGAAGCUCAUUAGACCAGAAACAUUGUUCCUUUGCCUAUGUAUCUUUUUGACAUAUUCUCUUAAGGAAGAGCUACUUAUAUCAAGGCUCCAUCUUUCUGAGUUGCAAGGCAAAAGUCCGUUCUCCAUGAAAAACCUACCCAUUUCCACUAAGUCCCCGUUCUCCUUUGCUUCUCAGAUGACUUUUGCAAUAAAAAGUCCUUUUCCCUUAAAAGCAAUGGAGAAUAGACACCAUUUUAGAAUAAUUUUUAGCUUAAAAAAAGUAUUUUUUGGUAGAUGGAGAAGUUGAAAAUUUUAACUUUUCUUCAGCCAAAAGUGAUUUUGGGUGAUAAUUUCCUUUUUUAACCUAUCUUCUCCCAAAAAAGUUUUUUUCUCUGGUUCUUUGGAGCUAAACCUAUACCCAUUUUUUUCACAUUUUCUCUUUCAAAGUUCUUUCUUCUGGUUCUUUAUUCCUCUUCUGCCGGUGAGUUUCUUUUCUUCUUCUUCUUCUCUUUAAUUAUUCAUUAUACUUUAGUUUUUAGUUGUUUUCUGAUUGUUUGAUUUUUAUAGAAAUUUUACAGAAAUUAAUUGACUGAUUUUACAGAAAUUCUAUCUCCUUAAAAUCAUUUUAGAAAGUUUCAGAAGAUUACAGGAAACAAAGAAGCAAAAGAAACACAAAGCAAAAUAUUAUUAUUAGUAAUGCAUGCGAUUAGAAUCAUGAAAAGUAACUCUUCCAAAAGAAAAAAAAAGAGGGAAAAUUCUGGCUUAGUUGUAUGGUCAAAGCAAAAAAAAAAAAAAAAAUCCCCCAAAACUUCAAAGGAGUGUCAAACAUGAACUCUGAGAUGUGUAGGCCCUACCAUUUAAAAGUUCAAACAGGAAUCUUUGUUGACUUGGUUGGGACUUAAACAAACUAAAAGAUUCAAGUUAUGUUGCUUACAUUGAUUCUUUGAGUCAUUGUAAGCAUGGAGAUAAUCACUGAUCAAAUAAGGAGGCAUAAAUAGCACUUACGGUGUCAUUGUUGCCUCUUUUGCUUUACUGCUUUGCUCUGUUUUGUGCCUCUGCUGCUUUGCUCUGCUUUGCUUUACUGAUUGUUAGAUACCCAGGAGUGUUUAGAGUUAAACCUACAGGCCCAAACUAUUUUAGUUGAUGAAAAUAAAAGAAAUAUAGACUAAAUAUUUGAAUAUUUAAUAGAUUAAAUACUGAUUGUUUUACUGAUUAAAUACUAUUUUAGAGUUUACUGAUUACUUUACUGAUUGCUAGAUCCCCAAGAGUGCAUAUCAAUUUGGUUGCCGAUACAUAUUACGCUCUAUUCACUUCUAUAUGAUAGAUUGAAUAUUUAAAGGAGAGAAUAAUACUAAACUUAACUAUAGACUUUAAGUGCAUAUUGAGAGGAGACUGCUAUAAACAUGCAUUAGAGGUUGAUUAGAAAAAUAGAGCAAUUUUGAGUAAUGGAGAUCUAAGUCACAUAGAGAAUUCAAUUAAUAAUAGAUGAAGAGAGUUAUGGACCUGCUAAACUGUUAGGAUUGUCUUCAGAUCACUGAACCACCAAGCAAUUCUUAUUGAUCUUAUACCUGAAAAGACAUUAAUGAGUUCCAACCUGUCUCUACAGGCACAAGUAUGAACAAAUACAAAAAAAAAAAGGAAAAAAAAAAGGAAUUUUAAUUUAUACCAAUGCAUGCUGGGAAAUAUAUGCCUUCAUUCAAUAUAAGAGCUAAUAUACACAACCACUGCCUACAACUAUAUGCAUGGUCAAGCAAAUACUUUAUCAGUAUACAUACAUAGGCCCUAACAAUUUGAAGGCCAUACAUGCUAUAACCCACAUGCAGAGUGUUGUUCAUCACAAAAAGGAAUGCAAAUAGUAAAGUUUAAUACCAAUUUUUAACCCUUUGAAAUGUCGGUAACAUAUCAACAAAAGUGAACCUUCAACAAAAAAGAUGCCACUAACCUCUCCACAAAAUAGGAUGCAAUAGAACCAGUAACAGCAUGUGCAGGAGCUAGCUUUCCAAGCUUUUCCUCCAAACCUGGAGUUGUAGCCUGUAAUAGAAUUAAAGUUCAACAAUACCAUUAUUCAUUGAUUAACAUCGAAAAUAACAACCUUAACAUAAGAAAAAUCAAUGAAAAAAUUCAAAGAUUGAUAAAUAAACUACAAACCUCCACUGCAGCUUUAGACCAAGCCCUUUGCUUUAUAUCCAUCAAGUUCAUCCCUACACCAUCAGUUGUAUCAAUACAAGCAUAAGCCCCUAAGAAUAGACAUGCCAUGAAAGAGCUAACAAGAGAGAUCCUCUCAGUGUCCUCAUAAGUUUCUUGUUGUGUCUCAAAUAUCUUCCGAAUUUGUGGUCCUGUAUAUCUCUCAUAAGCAUGAGAACCAGUAAUUUUAGACAACUCCAAUGCACCACUGACAGCUUUCUUUAUUUCUAUACACUGAGCAGUUGUGCUGCAGUCCAUCCAUAUCGGUGAUUCCUUCGGUUGCUUAUAGGCUUUAUAGGCUUACAAGAGUUAGUGUCUUAUAUGCUUAUUGUUGUCUUAACAUACCAAGGAGUUACUCUUCCUACAUUAAAAUGCCUGUAAAUCACAAGGAAAUGUUGUUGAUUGAUAAGUCAUUCAUUAUGCCUCUCGUUUGUUGUUACACUGCUAAUUUUUUAUGCUUUUGUUUUCUGUAAUGUGUAAGCUAUUAAAACUACAAUAAUAACGAACGCAAAAUGAUUGAAUGAAAUACUGUAAAUCACAGUAUGCUUUUUUUUUAUGCUUUAUCCUUAAGUUGUUUCCAUGCACUGCCCUGCUUUGUUUCCUUUCUACCAAUUGAUUUCAUGACAUAAAUGUACUAUAAAAAUUAGUAUAUAUGAGUGAACUCAUUUGAUUUAUUUAUUUGACGUUUCCAAUUUUCCAUAAAUAUCAGUAGUUGCAUUUGUCUCCAAGUACACUUUAGGUUUUUUCAAUUAUAAAUUCUUUAUUCUAUGGAUGAGAAUGGAUUUUUGAGUGAAUUUAUUGAUAAAAUCAGUAGUUAGUACAAUAUCUUUUGUAAAUGAUUGAUUUGGUUUAAUUUAUUUCCCCUUGACCUUUUUGUGAUUCAAGUGAUAGCUUUGCUCCUGCAGUUCUGUCUUUGGUUCUAAGGUUUCAUUUGUGAAUGUUAUUUGAAUCAAUUUAAUAUAGUAGUAUGGUAUUUUUGUGUUCUGUUGCAGGUUCUUUUCACCUACAAUAAACUACUUGACUUCAAAAGGGCACAAUCUUUACCUACCCUUGGUUCUUGGACUUGACAAAGUAAAUCCCAGGUUUGUGAGCUUAUUACGUUUCUUUCAUUGCUUCUGCCUUGGAUUCUGAAUAGUUGGAUAUAGUUAAUAUUUUGAUACACAUGUAAACAAAUAUACUUAUGUGACAUUUGAUUUUCUUGACUGCUUAACUGGCUGAAACGGAUCUAUUCGUAUACACAAUAGAUGAGUACUUCGGCAGUUGAAGUUAGUGGUGAAAAAGUAAAAGCAAUGUGGGAUAAGAGAUUGACAGAAAUAUUUUGUGAUAUUUGUAUUAAAGAGAUACUAAAAGACAAUAGGCCUGGUACUCAUUUCACAAAAGAUGGAUGGUUGAAAAUAAUGACCAACUUUGAGAAAGAAACGGGCAAGUGUUUUUCACAAAGACAACUUAAAAAUAGGUGAGAUGCCCUAAAAAAAGAAUGGAAAGCUUGGAAGAAACUUAAAGGCGACGAUAAUGGUCUAGGGUGGAAUCCUAUAAAAAGAACCGUUGAUGCAUAAGAUGAUUGGUGGGAGAGUAGGAUACAAGUACAUUGAUAAUUCUAAAUAUUUUUUGUUUUUUUUUCUUAUUUAUGAGGUUAUUGAUAAUUACUGUUAUUAAACUAUCAUUUUAUAUGUAGGUUGUGCCUGAAGCUCAAAAAUUUAGAACAUCGGGCAUUGAUCCUGAAUUCAAAGGGAAGUUGGACCAAAUGUUAAUGGGGAUAGUUGCAACAUGUGGUAAAGCAUGGGCACCAGGUGAUAAAGUAUGGGCACCUUCUUCUGGUACACUCCGUAGUGAUUUUUUUGAGGAUGUUAACAACGAAAUACCUAAAGAGAAUGAAGAAGAAAAUAUCAGAAAUGAUGUUCACAUUUUAAAUGAUGUUCACAUUUCAAAUGAUGUUCAAUUUGAUGGAAACGAUCAAAAAAGAAAAAAUCCUGAGAUAUCAAUGUUGACACCAUUUUUUUGAUAAAACGGGAUCGACUUAGGUUUUAGAAACGAAAACGAAAACGGAAGUCUCCACCAAUCCUUUUUGAUGAGGUGUGAUCGGGUCACCUCGUAAAGUGGUUGUUUUUAAUAAACAAUUUGAUUUUUAUGAAAAACAACGAUUUUGGUCCACGAAAUUCAGAAAAAUGGGUUUGGGAGUCGAUUACGUACGAGGAAGGAUUAGCACCCUCGUAACGCCCAAAAUUGGUACCUAGUUGAUUAAUUAAUGUCUUAGUGUCGAAGAUUGAAAAUUUUAAAGAAAUUUAAAAUACGAUCUUUUAUUGAAAUGUUGAAAAUUUUCGGGAAAGGCAUAUUUCACGUUAAUCGAGAAAGAGAAUUAUAUCCAAUAAGUUAGGACAUAAUGUCUUGAAUUUCUGAUACGCGAAUGAAUACCAAAAAUCUGCUUAUUUAAAAGAUAUUUAGCUAUCUCGGUUUCAAAAAAGAGAUCAUGCCCAGUAAGUUAAGACAAGAUCUUUUCUUAAUUCCCGAGAUCAUUUAAAACUUUGUUUGAAAUGAUUCGCGUAUUUAGAUUUAUCGAGAAAAUUGAAACCCCGUAAGUUAGGGUAUAAUUUUUCGAAUAUCAAAAUACGAAAAAUAAUUUUUGAUAUAUCGAGUAAAGUAAAACACGAUGUCGUAAAAAAUGCGAAAACAAAUUAUAUAGGAUACGCAUACGAAACAAUAAUGAAUAUGAAAGUGUAACAUAAUACGAAUGAUAGUGACAAAAACAUGAUAAAAAGGACGAAUCAAUAGCAUGCCAAAUAACUAGUGUAUAAGCAAAAUAAAAGUGAAAUAUUUUUAAAAUAAUAAUGAAAGCGUGAAUAAAUAGAUAAUAAUUGAAUUAUAAUUAUAAAAAAAAAGCAAUAGGAUAUAUGUAUAUGUAUAUGUAUAUGUAUAUGUAUAUGUAUAUGUAUAUGUAUAUAAAGUAUAAGAUAUAAUAAGGAAUAUGCAAGCAUGUAUAUAUAUAUAUGAAAAUUAAAAAUAUGUAUAUAAAGAUAUAUAGAUAAAUAAGAUAUAAAGUAUAUAGAUGUGAAAAUGAAAAAAUACGUAUAUAAAGAUAUAUAUAUAUAUAUAUAUAUAUAGUAUAGAAUAUAAUAAGUAUAUANNNNNNNNNNNNNNNNNNNNNNNNNNNNNNNNNNNNNNNNNNNNNNNNNNNNNNNNNNNNNNNNNNNNNNNNNNNNNNNNNNNNNNNNNNNNNNNNNNNNCAAAAGUAAAGAAUAUUCAAUUGAAAACACAGUGAAAAGCGGAAGGAAUAGGGUAGCAAUUAUACCCUAGUCACAAAACACGCGGAUCCUUCAGGUAAUGGGUCGGGUCACGCGUGGGUCGCGCGAAACGGCGCCGUUUUGGCGCUGAGGCCCCCAUGUGAAACAACGACGUUUUUCAUUUGGUAUAAAUGUUUAAAAAAACCCUAAAAAAUUAGAUUCAUCCCCUUUUUUUAAAAAAAAAAAUCAGAGAGCCAAAGCUCUCUCUCAAACCCCAAAUCUGUCCACAGUUGCCGGCUGUCCGUCCAUCGGACUGGCGCCGUGGCCGGUGGCCGACGACGGACCAAAUGUGCUUUUGAGCCCCGUUUUCGACGAUUUGAAGGCCAAUCCUUCUCAACCAAGAAGAAAACCGAAAGAAAAGACCCUCACCCCCUUUUAAGGCCGAUUUUGACGACGGAGAGAGGAUCCCCGACAACGUGGCCGCGGGACAUCUCAGGUGAGCCUUUAUUUUUCCUUUUUAUCUUUGUAGGUAGAAAUAAAAAUAAAUAAACAAAAAAAAAGUCAAGAACAAAAUAAAUAGAAAUAACAACCGAAAAUCACCUUUGAAGUUUUGUUUUUUUUAUUUAUUUUCUAAUAUGUCUGUAGUAAAAAAAAUACAUUGACUUGGUGAUGGCUUUUUCUAGCCGAAAUUGAUACAACAUUUUUUCUUUGUUUGUUGCUUGCGUUUUUGUUCUUUUCUUGCAGGUGAUUGACGGGCGCAAGUGGCAGAGGCGAUGAAGUGACCGUGGCGGUGGCGGCAGGUCAAGUGUGAGAAGACCCUAGGUGCGGCGCACCUAGGGUUAGGGUUUCCAGACCCUUUUUCUUGCUUUGGGCCGUGGGAAAUUGUGUUGGGUUGUAUUUGGGUCCGUUUGGGUUAGGGGUAGAUUUGGGCUUACUUUUGGUUUGGGUUAUUUUGUGUUUUAUUUGUUUGUAAUGGCCCCGGGUGAAAUUGGGCUUCUACAGCUGCCCCUCUUUGCUCGUUGUCGUGUAACAAGAACAGAGCAAAGACUAAGAAAGACCAAUUUCGCCCGGUCUCGUUAAUGCUCUAGUGCUUCUCUUCUUCAAGUAGCCUCCUUCUAAUCCACUGUGUCUUGUUGCUUUGAUCUACUCCACUGCACUUCAGAGAGAUACGACUUGCAGCUUCAAUCCACUCUGCUGCAACUUCAGGGGGACGAGAUUCGUGGUUUUAGUCUGCCCUACUGCAACGUCAGGGAGAUAAGACUUGAUGUUUCAACCUGCUCCACUGUGACUCUAGGGAGAUAAGGUCUUAAUAUGAUAAGAUCCAUUAUCAACAGUCUGCUCCACUACGACUUUAGGGAGAUAAGACUUGUAGUCGGUCUUCAAUUUGCUCCACUACUUCUUCAUGGAAAUAAGACUUAUAUCUUCAACCUGCUCCACCGCAACUUCGGGGAGAUAAGGUUUGCUAUCUUCAGUCUGCUCCACUGUAACUUCAAGGAGAUAAGACUCGUAAUGUCAACCUGCCCAACUGCAACUUCAGGGAGAUGAAGUUUGAUAUGAUCUACUCUACUAUAACUUCAGAGAGAUACGAUCAGUAAUUUAUAACUUCAAUCUGUUCCACUGCAACUUUAGGGAGAUAAGAUUCGUAAUUUCAACCUGCCUCACUGCAACUUCAGGGAGAUGAUGUUUGAUAUGAUCUGCUGUACUAUAAUUUUAGAGAGAUAAGAUAUGUAGUUUAUAGCUUCAAUCUGUUCCACUGCAACUUCAGGGAAAUAAGACUCGCUAUCUUUAGUCUGUUCCACUGCAACUUCAGGAAGAUAAGACUCGUAAUUUCUAAUAAAGUCCGAUGUGAUCCGUUCUACUGCAACUUCAGAGAGAUAAGAUUCAUCAUUUUGACCCGCUCCACUGCAACUUCAGGGAGAUAGGACUUAUAUCUUCUACUUGCCCUACUGGAACUUUAGGGGGAUAAUGUUAGUAACUUCAACCUGCUCUACUGCAAUUUUAGAGAGAUAAGGUUUGUUAUUUCAAUCUACUCUACUGCAACUUCAGAGAGACAGGGUUUGUAAUUUAUAGCUUCCAUCUAUUUCACUACAACUUCAAUGGAAUAAGACUUGCUAUCUUCAGUCUACUCUACUGCAUCCUCAGCAAGAUAGAACUUGUGGCUCCAAUAAAGUCUGAUGCGAUCUGUUCUACUACAACUUCAGAGAGAUAAGAUCCAUCAUUUUAACCUGCUCCACUGCAACUUCAGGGAGAUAAGGUUUGUUAUCUUCAACCUACUCCGCUACUACUCAGGGAGAUAAGACUAGUGAUUUCGAUCUGCUUCACUGUCAGUACAGGAAGACAAGAUCUACAACCUUCGACCUACUUCACUGCUACUCAGGGAGAUAAGACUAGUGGCUUAAAUUUGCUUCCCUACUACCUUGGGAAGAUAAGAUUCGCCGUCUUCGAUCUGCUCCACUACUGCUUAGGGAGAUAGGAUCUGUAAUUUUCAACCUACUCUGCUACUGCUUAGGGAGAUAAGGCUAGUGCUUUCGAUCUGCUUCACUGCCAGUACAGAAAGACGAGAUCUGCUACUCUUAGUCUACUCCGCUGCAAACUCAGAGAGGUCAGGCUUGUGUCUUCGAUCUGCUUCACUGCCAGUACAGGAAGACGAGAUCUGCUGCUUUUAGUCUGCUCCGCUGCAAACUCAGGAAGGUUAGGCUUGUGUCUUCAAUCUGCUUCGCUGCCAGUACAGGAAGAUGAGAUCUACUGCUUUUAGUUUGUUCUGCUGCAAACUCAGGGAGGUCAGGCUUGUGUUUUCGAUCUGCUUCGCUGUCGGUACAGAAAGACGAGAUCUGCUGCUUUUAGUCCAUUCCUCUGUAAUUUCUGAGAGAUAGGACUUGAUAUGACGACUUCAAUUCAUCUCACUGCAACUUCAGGGGUAUGGGAAACUUCAUUAAUAUGUUCUUUGGGGAACAUGACCUGUAAAGUCCAUUUUAUAAACCUAUUUAUGCCUAAUGAUUAGGAUGUUAUGAUCAGAACGAAUCAGAUUCUCCUAACUAGGUGUGUGUGAAUUAUAUUUGCAUGAAUGCAGAAUGUUAUGAGAAUGAUCCCUUUUUUAAUGUUAGGGUUGUCAUUGCUCGUUAUUCAUUAAGGCUCCAUUACCAACACGUCAGAAUGCCAUCUUGUUUGGCUGGUAGCACUCAUCUCUUACUUAAACGGAUUGCCCCCACUAUAAUCUUCAAAGUUCAAUCUGUUGUAAUCUUCAAGGCUAAGUCCACGGUAAUUUUUGGACAUAAAAUUUGAGCCAUCUUCCUUCCACUGAGUAAAAGAUCUGGCUCUUUCUCAAUCCUCUCCCACUGUAAUUCAGGGAUACAGGAUCUGAAUCUCUUUGGUCUCUUACACCAUUCUUAGGGUGUCGUACCAAAUAUUUAUGCACAAUUGUAGAACUUUCUCUUCUAAUAAACCUCUUUUUAUCACUCUGUGAUCAUUACUCAUUUGUUCAUUGAAGUUUUGUCACCAGCACGACAUUUUUCGUUUUGUUCAAUCUAUGCUUAGACAACAAAAUCCGAAGGGAUAGUCUUAAUUUAGACUUUUCCUUCUUAGACAUUUCACCCUUUAAACUUGGUGUACUCUAAACAAUAGUCAUGUUUCAGGUUCCUGUAUUGUUUAGAAGCUUUCAGAGUAAUAUGCAAAACUUCUUUUGCUUGAAUAUUAACAGCCCAUUAAUCUUUAUUUCAAUGGAAAAUGCUUGAAAAGAUUAUCACAAUGGGAAAGAUGAAAUUUUAUUGAGAGUAGAGCUCUAAACAAAUAAAUUAAUCAGGAUAGAAAAUUUUGCUAAGAUUCAAAAUGAAUAAGAUGAAAAGGAUUAUUACAAUGGAUAAGAUGGAAUUUUAUUGAGAACAAAGCUCGAAAUAAAUAAAUAAUCAAGAUAGCAAAUUUUUCUAAGAUACGAAAUGAAUAAGAUGAAAACAGGUGCCCCAGAUAUCACAGUAUGAGCUUUUCUGCAUAAGCUUCUUGAGGACCAUUUUGAACUUGAUAUGUGUCUAGAAGUCCUAAAAGACUUUGUUGAUGUCCCAAGAUGUAGCGUCUCACCUUCUUGCUAAUUUAGAGAGGACAAGGCCACCGCAUGUCCCACCUUUGAUCAAAAUUUAAACUGCCCAUUCCUGGGUUUUCAAUUCAAAACCCCUUUGGUCUCAAGGUGCCCUUUGUGGGUUUUCACCUUGGCCUCUCAUUCUUCUUUUCUUUUCUUUUUCCUUUCUUUUUUCUUUUCUUUUUUUUAACAUUCUUUGAUUGAAUUCGCCCUCGUAGGAUCAGGUAAGUCAUUGCUAUCCUUUCUAGUCGAAAUCAACACUUCUCCAGAUAAAGCCUUCAACAUAAGGUUCUUUUCAGUUUGAUAUCCUCUUUCUUCUAAAGUUCUUUUUGUAUGGAGAGGAUUUUCUUCGAUAUUAGGUCUCCUUCAUAGAAUUCUCUAGGGCGAACCUUCUUUGGUGAGCUCACGUCUUUUUUUUGUGGAUUUGACCAAGAUAGAUAACUUUGAACACUUCUCUUCAAUCGAGAUCUGAUCCAACACUCGAAGAGAAGGAAUCUUGACCUCAAUGAGCAAAACUACGAUGAGCCAAUGUGUUGCCCCGGCAGUAGUUUUUCCUCUCAUUUUUGUUUUGUUUUGUUUUUUAUUUUUGUUUUUUUUACUCCCACUGCGCCGUGCAUUUUGGGGCAAAAUGUGUUAAUCUUGAACAGACUGUAAACUUAUGACAUUGUGCUGUUGUUCAAUUUUAGUGCAUUGUUAGAUGUGCUUCUUUUUGGCAUUUCAAAUUGACACGUGAUUUUUCAAAAAUUCGCAGACUGUUGACCUUGCGACAUUGGCAUAUGAAGCAGCUUUUGCCUACUUAGUGAGGUAAUUGAUGACCAAAAAGAUAACCGUCAAAAACCUUAGGUAAGAUCAGCCUUAUGACAUUUGUGUCCCACGUAGAGAAAGGGCAUGGCUUCUAUUGAUUCUGUGUAAAAUAGAAUCUUGUUAUCUCGUUUUUAACAAAUCAGGAGAUAAGUUACAAUCUCAGUUAUCUCCAAAGGCUUGAGGUUUAAUCUGGACACAUAUCUUGCUCAAAAGGAGGUUCUGAAUCAAUAGUAGUGUUGCUCAUAUCAUUGAUAUUUAGAGACCUGUUAUAGGACGAAAGUAGAUCCAAAGAAUAAAAGAAUCUAAAAAUAUUUAUCUGUAUCGUAUGAUUAUGAAAUGGAAAAAAUAAAAGAAUAUUUGCCCGAAGUGAGAAACAAAGAUGCAUUUUAUUGAAAUAAAGAUGUUGGACAUAAGCCUAUCUCACAAAAGGAUUCUUAUUACCCCUAGGCUUAGAGAAAUAAGUGUGUUUUGGACAUUACUCCGAAUUAGGUCUAAAAUAUACAGGGAUCUCUUUCACAGUCCCACUAUUCAAAACACUUCCAAGUCUGUUCUUUUCACCAACCCCCUUCUUGGAUAUGAUGUUAAUGCUUUGAUAGCCGGCGAUUAUGACCCUCGGUUGGCCCACAGUGACCAAUUUGGGAUAUCUUUCAUUAUAUAUACUCAAGUUGCUUACUUCAUUUUCUUUGUUCUUUAGGGUUGAUCCUCUGACGCUUUCUCCCGUAUCUAUCUUCCCACUUCUUAUGGCAUUUUCACUCAUCUUGCCAGACAUUACCAUAUCUGAUAAGCUCAUGGUAGCGCUUCCCAACAUGUGGUUAAUGAAUGGGGCUUUCAAAGUGUUGACGAAAAGCAUCGUGGUUUCUUUUUCUAGAAAAGGUGGUUGGACUUAUGUCGCUACCUCUCUCCAUCUUUGGGCAUAUUGCCUGAAGCUCUCACUUUGCUUCUUUUCCAAGUUCUGUAGUGUAAUUCUGUCAGGUGCCAUGUCUGUCACGUAACCAUACUGCUUCAUGAAAGCUCGUGCCAAGUCUUUCCAUGAGUGGAUAUUGGCACGGCUCAACUGGUUGUACCAUUUUACAGCUGACCCGAUCAGACUAUCUUGGAAGUAAUGAAUUAACAGUUGAUCGUUAUCAAUGUAUCCUAUCAUUUUUCGACAGAACAUCGUGAUGUGAGCUUCGAGACAACUGGUCCCAUUAUACUUUUCAAAUUCUAAAGUCUUGAAUUUCGGUGGGAGUACUAAAUCUGGGACCAAACUUAAAUCCUUGGCAUCAACCCCGCAAUGGUAAUCAACAUUCUCCAUUGCUUUUAGUUUUUCUUCCAACCACCUAUACCGAUCUUCGAGUUGCUUUGGUAGUUCUACCCUUACUUCUGCCAUUUCGUCUAACUCAGGAAUAACAAGAUUGGUUGGAUCAUUCUUUGGAUUAGAACCUGAGCCUGUCGGAUAGUUCAUUAGCGCCGAGGUACCGGCCUGAUAUCGUUGGGGUCUGUUAGUAGUGGGUGCCCCUUGUAGAUGCGCGUCGGGUUGGGCCUGGACGCCUAUUGGGGUGAAACCUGGGAGAUAGGCAGGGUCUUCAUAUUUAUCCCCAGAAUUGGCUACAGGGUUUUUCUUUUUAUCUCUAGCUGAGAGCUGUGCUAAUUGGCUCAUCAAGCUCCUUUGGGAUUUUUGCAUGUCUUGUUGGAUAUUUUCUAGUUGUUCUUGCAUCUGGGCUUGCACCUGUUCUUACAAUUGCUCUAAUCUCUCUAGUCUCUGAUCUAUUCCUUUAGUUUUUGCUCAGAUACUGUAAGGGUGUUGGUUUUCCAGAUUAGCUGAAAUAAUUUUACUCAAUUAGGGUCUUUUAAUGGUCCUUAAUGCACAUGAUGCCAUGUAAUGCGAAUGCAUGAAUGCAAAAAAGACGUUGACUCUGAUUUAAUUCUAUUUAAAAAACUUUACUAAAAAACAAAUUCCUUUACAUAAAGCGAAUGCAUGUAUGGCCUCGCCCUCAUAUUCCAAGAAACAACAUUGGUCUUCUUCUUUAUCUGAAUGUUUAAGAUAAAUAUUGCAAAUUUCCAAUGGAUGCCACUACUAACUCCUUCUUGCUUGAUUCUGGUUGUGAUCCAUCGUCUGCCCAUCCUCGUAAUGCUCAUCAGCUUCUUUAAGGAAGUCAGAAUGUCGGUGACUCUCAAAUAAUUAGCUUGAAUUUUUGGGCCACGAAGUAAAAUGAUGUACUCUUCCAUCACCUUUCUUUUGUCGUGUUUCUUGGAAUGUAUUCGGGCAGCCAUAUUAUCUUCCGCUUUAUCAAGAAAUCCGUUUUCCAUGACAAACUUUCUAAUUUAGUAAUCAAACUUGAAUCAACACCUUUUUCUAAGAUGAAAAUGCAAUGCAAUCAUAACCAAAACAAAACGAAACAGGUUAGUACAAAGCAAAAGCAAACAAGAAAGAUAGAGUACCUAUUCGGGUAUCCACUAAAGGUUUGGAGUGGCUCUACCUAGGUAGAUUCUUAUGGCUCACUACAUGUGGUUCGAUUCUAAAGUAAAGGUACCUGAACCAACAGAUUCCUCAAUCCUCACCUAUUAUAGGCUCAUACGGACUGAGUUCAGUUCAGGGGAAUACAUUUCCCUAUGGCCAUGUGGAGAUGAAAAUCUCACGAAGACAUAGGUACAGAUGUAUCCCGGAAGCGAUUCACUAUCCCAUGCGAAGGUGAAAACCUCACGAAGGCGUAGUUUCUCACUCCCACUUAAAAGGGUGUGACCAACGGUCAUGCAAUGCAAUGUGCAGAAAUAUAUAUCUAAACUCAAAAUAACACAGUAUUUAUAAAACCACAAUGAUGAAGAUCGUAAUAAAGAUGAAUGAAAUACAAUGAAAGGAUAGUAAAUUUAAAUCAAAUUCAAUUUUUGACAAAAAGACAGAAAGUAAUCAACACGUGGCUUGACUCUCUUAUUUUGGAUCCCCAGUGGAGUCGCCAAGCUGUUGACACCAUUUUUUUGAUAAAACGGGGUCGACUUGGGUUUUAGAAACAAAAACGGGAGUCGCCACCAAUCCUUUUUGAUGAGGUGUGAUCGGGUCACCUCGUAAAGUGGUUGUUUUUAAUAAAUAAUUUGAUUUUUAUGAAAACAAUGAUUUUGGUCCACGAAAUUCAGAAAAAUGGGUUCGGGAGUCGAUUACGUCGAGGAAGGAUUAGCACCCUCGUAACGCCCAAAAUUGGUACCUAGUUGAUUAAUUAAUGUCUUAGUGUCGAAGAUUGAAAAUUUUAAAGAAAUUUAAAAUACGAUCUUUUAUUGAAAUGUUGAAAAUUUUCGGGAAAGGCAUAUUUCACGUUGAUCGAGAAAGAGAAUUAUAUCCAAUAAGUUAGGACACAAUGUCUUGAAUUUCUGAUACGUGAAUGAAUACCAAAAAUUUGCUUAUUUAAAAGAUAUUUAGCUAUCUCGGUUUUAAAAAAGAGAUCAUGCCCAGUAAGUUAAGACACGAUCUUUUCUUAAUUCCCGAGAUCAUUUAAAAAUUUGUUUGAAAUGAUUCGCGUAUUUAGAUUUAUCGAGAAAAUUGAAACCCCGUAAGUUAGGGUACGAUUUUUCGAAUAUCAAAAUACAAAAAAAAAAUUUUGAUAUAUCGAGUAAAGUAAAACACGAUGUCGUAAAAAAUGCGAAAACAAAUUAUAUAGGAUACGCAUACGAAACAAUAAUAAAUACGAAAGUGUAACAUAAUACGAAUGAUAGUGACAAAAACAGGAUAAAAAAGGACGAAUCAAUAGCAUGCCAAAUAACGAGUGUAUAAGCAAAAUAAAAGUGAAACAUUUUUAAAAUAAUAAUGAAAGCGUGAAUAAAUAGAUAAUAAUUGAAUUAUAAUUAUAAAAAAAGCAAUAGGAUAUAUGUAUAUGUAUAUAAAGUAUAAGAUAUAAUAAGGAAUAUGCAAGCAUGUAUAUAUAUAUAUAUAUAUAUGAAAAUUAAAAAUAUGUAUAUAAAGAUAUAUAGAUAAAUAAGAUAUAAAGUAUAUAGAUGUGAAAAUGAAAAAAUACGUACAUAAAGAUAUAUAUAUAUAUAUGAUAAGAUAUAAAGUAUAUAUAUAUAAAAAAAAUUAUAGACGUAUAUAUAUAUAUUAUAAAAAUGUAUGAUGGAUAUGGAUAUAUAUGUAUGUAUAACAAAACGUAUGUGUGUGUAUAUAUAUAUAGAUAACAAAAAUUUGAAAUUAAAAGGACAUAGUUGAGUAAAUAGUAAUAAUAAUAUUUAUAAUAAUAUAAUAUAAUAGUAAUAAUAAUAUGUAAAAUGAUCAAUUUAACAAUAAAUAACUAAAAUACCAAAUAAAGGGCUAGAUUAAAAACUAGGCUAGAAUAUGGGGUCAAAUCGCUAAUAAAAUAAAAGAGGGGACCUUCAUGAACGCGCACAUAACAUGGAGGGACUAAAAUGGAAAUUUUUCCUUCUCCUCCAAAACGCAUCGUUCCGGGAGGGACCGAAUUAAAAACGCAAAGAAAAAUGGGGUAAAAUUGCAAAAGUAAAGAAUAUUCAAUUGAAAACACAGAGAAAAGCAGAAGGACUAGGGUAGCAAUUAUACCCUAGUCACAAAACACACGGAUCCUCCAAGUAAUGGGUCGGGUCACACCCGGGUCGCGCGAAACGGCGCCGUUUUGGCGCUGAGGCCCCCAUGUGAAACAACGACGUUUUUCAUUUGGUAUAAAUGUUUAAAAAAACCCUAAAAAAUUAGAUUCAUCCCCCUUUUUUUAAAAAAAUUUCAAAGAGCCAAAGCUCUCUCUUAAACCCCAAAUCAGUCCAUGGUUGCCGGCCGUCCGUCCAUCGGACUGGCGCCGUGGCCGGUGGCCGAUGACGGACCAAAUGUGCUUUUGAGCCCCAUUUUCGACGAUUUGAAGGCCAAUCCUUCUCAACCAAGAAGAAAGCCGAAAGAAAAGACCCUCACCCACCUUUUAAGGCUGAUUUCGACGACGGAGAGAGAAUCUCCGACGACGUGGCCGCGGGACAUCUCAGGUGAGCCUUUCUUUUUCCUUUUUAUCUUUGUAGGUAGAAAUAAAAAUAAAUAAACAAAAAAAACUAAAGAACAAAAUAAAUAGAAAUAACAACCGAAAAUCACCUUUGAAGUUUUGUUUUUUUUUUUUUCUAAUAUGUCUAUAGUAAAAAAAAUACAUUGACUUGGUGAUGGCUUUUUCUAGCCGAAAUUGAUACAACAUUUUUUCUUUGUUUGCUGCUUGCGUUUUUGUUCUUUUCUUGCAGGUGAUUGACGGGCGCAAGUGGCAGAGACGGUGAAGUGACCGUGGCGGUGGCGGCAGGUCAAGGGUCAGAAGACCCUAGGUGCGGCGCACCUAGGGUUAGGGUUUCCAGACCCUUUUUCUUGCUUUGGGCCAUUUGGGCCGUGGGAAAUUGUGUUGGGUUGUAUUUGGGUCCGUUUGGGUUAGGGGUAGAUUUGGGCUUAUUUUAGGUUUGAGUUAUUUUGUGUUUUAUUUGUUUGUAAUGGGCCCGGGUGAAAUUGGGCUUCUACAAUCAAGUUCACAUUUUAAAACUAGAAGAAAGAAAUCCUCAAAGCACAUUAGAGGGGCUGCAAGAUUGUCCAGUCAAAUAGACAAAUUAUGCAAUGCAGCUGACAAUAUGAGUCAAGCCACAUCUAGUUUGACUCCUAUUAUGGAUCCAUAUGGUAUUCCACAAGCAGAUAAAAUGCUUGACAACAUGUCGAAAGAAGUUCCAAAAGCUAGUCCGCUAUACUUUUUCGCACUUAAAUUAUUGCUCAAGAAGGACAAGUGAAUUAUGUUUUUAUCAAUUAAUCCCAAGAUUAGAGCUUUGUGGCUUAAGACGGAAAUGGAGGAUAGUUGAAAAUUUUCUGAUCUUCUAGGGUUCAGAGAUAUCUAUUAUGUGACUAAACAACAAUGCUAAACUAGUUUUAUCAAUAGUUAUUUAUGUUUGGUUUUUGGAUAUUGAAUUUAUGUUCUACUUAUUUAUAUGUAAUCUAGUUUUAUCAAUGGUCGUUUAUGUUUGGUUUUUGGAUAUUGAAUUUAUGUUCUACUUAUUUAUGUAUAAUCUAGUUUUAUUAAUAGUUGUUUAUGUUUGGUCUUUGGAUAUUGAAUUUAUGUUCUACUUAUUUAUACUAAAUUAGUUUUAUCAAUAGUUGUUUAUAUAUGAUUUUGGAUAUAAAAUUUAUUCAUAGGUGAUAAGUAUAGUUAAGGAUUACAGCGGUGAUGAAAGUGAUGAUGAAAGGGAAAAGAAAGAGAUUUUACAACGCAUGGAAUGUUUUAACCAAUUAUUUGUUGUUGCAUCUUAUUCCUUGCAAUUAUAUUACGAGAAGUAUAUAUUGAGGCAACCAUGCAUGGAUUCUAAACAGUCAGGUGAGACAUGGAUCCGAGAGAUUCUUGACUGUCACAAAUCACGUUGUAUGAUUAAUUCACUACACCAAAACAGGAUUUUAGCGGCACUUUUAGUGGCGCUUGAACAAAAAAUGCUGGUAAAAAUCAAGCAUUAGCAGCGCUUUAUGGAAAUCGCCACUAAAAACCAAAGCCCAACGGUGUCGUUUUCUUACCUUUCGGGGCUUUAGCGGGUUUUUUGAAAAUGCGUCGCUAAUGCUCGGUGUUUUAGCGGCGUUUUUUAAAAGCGCCGCUAAUGCUAGGGCCUUUAGCGGCGUUUUUGAAAAAGCGCGGCUAAAAACAUUUUAUCUUAUUUGGUUUAUUUAUAUAAUUAAAUAAGAUUAAAUUUAAAUCUAAUUGAAUAUUUAAAAUCUUCAAAAAAAAUAAUGACACGUAGAAAUAAUUUGAAAUAAAAUAUCUGGAAAAAUUAAAAUACUAUUAUUUAAAAUAAUUUUAAAUUUUUUGGGUACAUGAUUACUGAUUUUUUUUAAUUUAUAUAUUAAAAAAUUUCUUAUAUAAUCGUAAAAGAGAUGGUAUUAAUUUUAAAAUAUUGAAUUAAUUAUCACUAUAGUUUAGGGUUUUUGGUUCAGGGUAUAUGAUUUAUUUAAAAUUUAAGGCCAGUUUAAAAGUUACUAUUUUAAGGUUUAGGGAGUAUGGAUUUAGGAAUUAUGGAUUAGGGAUUAUGGUUUAGGGGUUGGGGUUUAAGGUGUAGGGGUUAGGAAUUUAGAGGUUUAGGAGUUAGACGUUAGGGGUUGAGAGUUAAGGAUUCAAGGUUUAGGGAUUUAGGGGCCAAGUUAGGGGUUUGUGUUUAGAUUAAUUUUUUUAAUUUAUAUUUUAAAUAUGUUCUUAUAUAAUUGUAAAAGAGAUAAUAAAUUUGUUUAGGGUUUUUAGUUUAGGGUAUAUGAUUAAUUUAAGAUUUAAGGCCGGUUUAGGAGUUCAUAUUUUAAGGUUUAGGGAGUAUGAAUUUAGAGAUUAUGAAUUAGGGAUUAUGGUUUAAGGGUUUGGAUUUAAGGUUUAGGGGUUAGGGGUUUAAGGGUUAGACGUUAGGGGUUAAGAGUUAGGGAUUUAAGGUUUAGGGAUUCAAGGGUCGAGUUAAUGUUUUGGGUUUAGAUUAAUUUUUUUAAUUUAUAUUUUAAAUAUGUUAUUAUAUAAUUUUAAAAGAGAUAAUAAUAAAUUAAAUAUAUUGAAAUUAUGAGUGUAGUUUAAAUUAUUUAAGAGAUAUAUAAUAGAUAGAUUUUAUAUGUAUUGAAUGGUUAAUUUAGGGUUUAAGGUUAAUGUUUACUUGAGAUUUGUUAAAUGAUAAAAUUUUAUAUAAUUAAUUAAUACUUUUAUAUUUAAAAAAAUUUAAUUUAAACCAUUUGAUAUAUUUAAAUAUUAGUUUAAAUAGAAUUAAUAAAUAAAUUAAAAAAAUAAUAGAUUGAUAUGGAUAUUUAGGUACAAUUAUUUAUUUUGGAGAGGAUCAAAUUAUAAAAAAUAAAAUUAAAAUACAAAAAUAAAAUAAUUUUGUUCAAAAUGAAAAUUUUUUACACACUUUUUAUAAAAACACCGCAAAAAAUAAAUAAUAGCCCCAAAAUUUAACUUUAAAAAUGCUACAAAAAUUAUUUCACUUUAAAAAAUCGCGCCAUUUUACCCCAAAUUUCCCCCUGAAAUCCCUAAUCUUCCCAUGUCCGACAAUAUUUUCUCAGCUGCCACACUCCAACAAAUACUCUGCACUCCCAUGGCUGAAAUAACAACCCAAAACCUUUUUAUUACAGCGCCAACAAAGCUUUGCUCUUUAUCCAUCUAUCAAAGAACACACUACUCUGCAUCAUACACUGACGAAAAGAAAAAAUAUGGGUUUUGAGAAGGGAGCUUCAUUGUUGGAAGAUUUGGUAGAAAAAGCUGGAGGCUGUGCUGUGAUGGAUGGGGGUUUUGCUACUCAGCUUGAGAGUCAUGGUGCUUCCAUUAAUGACCCACUUUGGAGCGCUCUUUGCUUGAUCAAAGACCCUCACCUUAUCAAGCAGGUACCUUUCGGUCUUCUUUCUCAUUCAGCUUUGUUGGAAAAUAUGUACAUUGCUGUCCUGCAAAUGACUCCAUGUCAAAAACAGGGUAUAAAGUUUGAGACUUGGUUUUAGAUUUUGAAUCAACGUGGAGUGUUCAUAUGUGCAGGUUCAUUUGGAGCAUUUGGAGGCUGGUGCAGAUAUCUUAGUUACUUCAUCUUACUAGGUUUGUUUAUUAGUGUUUUUCAGAUUCAGCCGAAUGACUUGAUUUGUUAGGCUAAUGUGUGAUCUUCUGCCUUUCAUAUAUUCACAAUAUGGAUAUGGUGAAAAGGAUAGGAGCUAAAUGCUUCCUUUUUCUAUGCAAUAGGUCCACCACUUUCUUGUGAAAAGUCAUGGAAAAUAUUCUGAUUUUUCCCUAAGUUUGGCUUAUUAAUGAACCAGACGGAAAAUAAUGUAGUUAUCAUCUAUAUAUGUUCAUCUGCAAUGAUUGAUUCCUUGGAAACAAUCAACAUAUCUUUGUAGAAACUUGCCUACCUUCAUAUUAGGAAGAGUAAUUUAUUUGAGAUUGUAUGGUAAAUGAUAAACCCAAUUUUAAUUACAAUUAUUCACACAUUCCAGAUUUUUUAAUUGAUUUGAAUCGAGCAAUUAGACAUAAAAGAGUAAUAUGGAUUUAAAAAAGAAGAAGCAAAUAUUGCAAUGAUAGUGUUUUCAUAUUUAAUAUUAUUUAUAAUUUUUUAAAAUAAGUUAAUCCUAGAAUAAAACUAUAAACCUCAUGUAUAAUGGUACCUGAACCUAAAUCAUCAAAGACCCAAUCUUAAGCAGCAGCUCAAAACUCGACAGAGGCUAAGGAUGAUGCUGCCUCUGGAGAGGUUGCACAAGCUGAAUAAGGAUGGUGGAGUUAAUAAUGCCACAGGAGCAGCAGUUGGUAGAGGCUUUAUACGGGAUUCAUCGGGCUGCUGGGUUAUGGGGUACAGUUGGAGUAUUGGUUGCUGCUUGAUGUUGCUAGCUGAGCAUUGAGAGCUAUAUGACGGCUUGUCUGUGCCUUGAGAUGCGGGUAUUCGGUGCUGGUGGUGGAAUCUGAUAGUCGGGCUGCGGUGGACCUUGUCACGGAUGUUACCAGGAAGGAGAUGUUGGAGCUCGUAAUGGCUGUUCGUGGCCUUUUGUCUUAGUCGUGGUGGGUAUUGGUGCGUCAUGUUCUGCGAGGUGCAAAUGCGGCAGCGGAUUUUGUCACCAAGCUCGCUAGGGAUUGCCCAUUGGGUUUGCAGCUGGUUCGGCACCCUCCUCCAUUUGUCAAACUCAUGGUUGAAUGGGAAGAGUAGGCCACCUAUUGUCAAUGACUGUUAACUUUGGUUGGCUUUUAGCCUAGGUUCAUUUUUGUUUUCAAAAAAAAAAAAAUUCAAUCUCAAUUUUAUCAUUCAAUCAAAAUCUUUAUAUAUAUAUAUGUAUAUAUUUUAUAGAUAUUUUUUUUACAUAAACUUUUUUUUAUCUACGUUUGUGGAUAUACAACAAUAAAAACCUGAUACUUUUUGAGCAUGCUUGUUAAGAUUCCAAUUGUGUAAGGAACCGAGAAGGGCCAGUGCAAAGUACAGGUGAAAGGAUUUCGGUCUGGUCCCAACUAGUUCGGGGUGGGUUAAACUCAAUACUGAUGGUACUGUUUCUGUAGGUGGUCUUAAGUCCGGGGUUGCUGGUUUGAUUAGGAAUGCGUUGGGAAAUGGGAAGUUGGCUAUAACAGAUUCAUUGGUGUGAGCAACGUUCUUGAAGUAGAACUGCAUGUUGUUUUGAAUGGCUUGAAGAUUGCCUGGGACAAAGGCUUUUAGCAAAUACUGUUGGAAUGUGAUAACCUUCAUAUUAUUAGCUCCUCUUAUUGGUCGAGGCAAUGAUGCAUUUAGCAAAGUUGAGGAAUUAAGUAGAACGAACUGGGUAGUGCAUGUUUCGUAUAUUGGAAGGAUGGUAAUGUGGCUAAAAUAGCUCUAACAGAUAGACCUGGGUUGCAAGUACCUUUAGACCCUUUUUCUGUUGUUCUUGACGUGUGGAGUGAUGAUGUUUCAGGCCUCUCUAGCUAUACAAAUGCUCAACACUUUUCCUUUGUAUUUUGUUGGCUUCACUACACCAAAACAGGCUUUUAGAAGCAGGUCCAGGUUUGCUAGCCUUUGAGACCAUUCCCAAUAAACUUGAAGCUCAGGUUUGUUCUUCCUCAUGUAUACUUUACAUGUAGGAAGUUACAUUCUUCAUUAGCUUUUCAAGUUUCUAGUGAUCACUGAUCCAUUCGUAAUCAAAGCCGAGCAGGGACGAGUGGCGCAUGUAUAAUGCACACUGGCUGCAAAGGUUAAUUAGCAAUCGUUGUGGUUCUUCUGCCUUUUGCGCCUCUCCCUUUUUUUUUGUUUUUUGGCUUUCUUGGUUCUCAGUUUCUCAAUUCUAUCCACAGUUGUAUGGGGAAACCAAAGCACUACCGACCUCCUGCAAGUUCUUUCGAACUUUAUUGCUUUCAAAUUGGCGGUUUAGAUUUUCAAAUUUGACUUAUUGUAAGGAUUUUUUGCUCAUAAUUUAUGGUGAAAUUUUACAGGGAAAGAAAAAGGAAGGAAAUGCUGCGAGAUAUGUGACGAGGUCACAAGCUAUUAAAAUCCUUCAAGUUAGCCUUUCGGAUUUUAGGUUCAUCUCUUCUUUCUCACUUUUAUUAAUUAUUAUUAUUUAAGCUUCCUUUAUUUGCCUUCUUUUAUCAUUUUUUUCAUGUUGUUUUUAGCUUCGAAGAUUAAUUAGCUAAUAAUUUGAAACUAUUGAGCUUCGUUAAGCUGAGAUUAGUUCAUCAAGUAGCAGUUAAUUGCUACUUUUGCUAACUGUUUUUUGCUCACUGAAGCAAAGAGAAGAAGUGUGUAUGGAAAAUAUUCUUAUUGCUAGCUUUUUACUUCAGCAUGAGUUUAUGACUAUGUUUUAAUUGAUAUGAUUUUGUUAUUAUUAUUAUUAUAAAAAAUCGAGGAUUUUAGUAAGAAAACAUAUAAAAAAAAAGCCUCAACCAAAUGAAACGCGUAUUGAUGGGGUUUGUUAUUUUUUAUUAAAUAUGGUUGGCUUCCUUUUUGCUUUAAUGGAUUUAAUACUGCAGGAAACUAUGCAUCCACAAAAGAGUAUUUCCGAGAGAGCCAAAGAAGAAAGUGAAAGGAAAUCAUCAUACUUACUGUCACUUGAAGGAUGUCAUGUACAUUCUUCAUGAUCCACUACUUGAGAAGUUUAGAGAAAUAAGGGCAUAUCAAAGGAAGAUAAAGAAAGCUAAGGCUAAAAAGAAGGAUGAGUUAGCAAAGCUUCUUCUAUCUCGUGCACCUUCUUACAGACUUGAUAUGGUCAUCCGCGAUAGGUUUGUGAAACAAUCUUUGUAUGUUUUAUUUCCUCUCGUUGCUAGUUGUAUCAAAUCUGUAAAACUUUUGUAUUAAAACUUUUAUAGUAAGCAGCAACAUAACUAAAUCACCUUAUGCUGAUAAUGAGAAGAUUUAUUGUUCCUAUUCCCUUGGCUCCAAUUUUUUUGGUUCAAAACUUGAUGUCUAAGUGCAUGCUUGAGUAUUUGGUAAUCAAUCCUGUGAAAUAGUUUCUAGUUAAGGUGGCAUAGAAGCAUAUAGUCCAGGCAUAGUCUGCUCUUACAAUUUAUGAUUGUUUUUUGGUUUCUCCUCUCCACAAACUGUCUAAUGUAGUUGGCAGAAUGAGAUGAUGUUAUUUAUGCCUAUACAUGCAUUUCUCUGUGGAUGGGUAACUUAUAUCUUUGAUUUGAGGCAUAGUUUGAUGACAGCAUAACUUAUUGCUGAAGUUAUACAGCCACGUUGUUUGCAUGCUGAUGACCAGUUUUGACAUUUAAGAUUUCAGCAUAACAUAAUUGUUUGUUAUAUAAUUUUUGUUUUAGCCUUAAUGGCUAUAUAUAAUUUUUAUUUUUAACAUCUCUAUUGUUUAUCAAGUUUGUCGGUUUAUCUGUUCAUUUGGUUUUGCAUCCUUUAGAUAUUGAAGGUGUUGUAGAGGAUUCAAUCUCUUCAAGCUGGAAAAGCCAAGGCUUAGCACUUCUUCAAGUGGAGUGUUUUUUAAUUUUUCAUUCCAUGGUCGUUUAUCUUAGUCGGAACUUGAAUUUGGUGUUAUUGAAACAGGGUUUUGUAGUUACCUUGUGUACUAGCUUCUUUAACCAUGAUUGUUAAUCAUUACGAGUUUUGUAAUUUCUUUUAUAUUUGGCCGAGUUAAUAGAGAUCAGAUGAGCUGUGAGGUAGAUUGCUCAUUUAUUUAAACAUAAUAUUUUAAUUCUAAAUUUAAAUUCAUUAAUUUUUAUAUUUAGCUUUAAAGUUAAAAUUUUAAUAGAAAUUUUAAUUUAAUUAAUUUUUUUAUCCUUAAAAGUAUAUAGUUUAAAGUUUAAAUUUCAAAAAUAAAAUAAAAUAUAAUAUUUAUCAUAGGAAUAAAUAUUAUUUAAUUAAAAUAUAUUUUUUAAAAUUCAUAUUUUUAGCGGCGUUUGUGAAAAAGCGCCGCUAAAAUUCAUUCUUUAUAGCGAUGUUUGUGGUAGAAGCGCAGUUAAAGGUCAUGGUCUUUAGCGGCAUUUUUGGUAGAAGCAUCGCUAAAGGUCAUGAUCUUUAGCGGCGUUUGUGGUAGAAGCGUUACUAAACGUCAUAAUCUUUAGCGGCGUUUGUGAUAGAAGUGCCACUAAAGGCCAUGAUCAUUAGCGGCGUUUUUUCACAUAAACGUCGCUAAAGUUAGCGACGUUGUCUACAGCGACACUUUUUGCGGUGCUUAUUAAAGCGCCGCUAAAAGUUUAUUUUGCUGUAGUGAUUUUAGGAUGUCUAAAAUGGUAUUCCCAAGUUUGUUGAGAGUUUUGGAGACAAUAUACAACUUGCAAACUUCAAGAAACAUAUCUUCUAGUGAAAUGUUGGGAAUUUUUUUAUACAUCUUGGGCACCGGUGCAAAAGGUUCCCAAUGUCGAGAAAGAUUUCAAAGGUUUGGAUCAACAAUAAGUUGACACUUUGCAAUUGUGCUUGAGGAAGUUUCAAGGAUGGCCACUGAUCUAAUUGCCCCCGAAGAUCUUUUUUUUAGCUCAAUACCCGAAUAAAUACGUAAUGAUUCUAGAUAUAUGCUCCAUUUUAAGGUCAAAAUAUUAUUUUAUAUUAUUAUAUUUUAAUAUAUUUGGUCGACUAAAAAUAUGCACGAGAGUAAUAUGAUUAUUUGUUCAGGACUGCAUAGGUGCAAUUGAUGGUACUCACAUUGCCACUAUUCUUCCAGCAAAUGAACAAAUUCCCUAUAUUGGAAGAAAAUGUAUCCCGACUCAAAAUUUUAUGGCAGUAUGUGAUUUUAAUAUGUGUUUCAUCUUUGUCAUGGUUGGAUGGAAAGAAUCGACACAUGACACUAGAAUAUUUCUUGAUGCAAUUUGAGAUCCAAAAUACAAAUUUUCGCACCCACCAAAUGGUUAGAUAUUUUAUUUAUAUGUGCUUUUUUAAAUAAUAAAGUAUAAGUUCUUUAAUUGAUAAUUUUUAUAAAAAAAAUUCUUGAAUUAAUUGUUUGUUAUAUUAUGACUUGUAGGAAAAUAUUAUCUUGUUGAUUCUGGAUAUCCUCAAAUGAAAAGUUAUCUUGGACCAUAUAGAGGUCAGCGAUAUCAUUUACCUGACUUUCGUAGAGGUAGACCAGUAUCUGGUAAAGAAGAGAUAUUCAAUCAUUCACAUUCAUCAUUACGUAGUGUGAUUGAACGAACUUUUGGUGUUUUGAAAAAAAUGGGUUAUUUUAAGGGAUAUGCCAAGUUAUAGUUUUGAAAAGCAAACGAUGAUCGUUGUUGCUACAAUGACGAUACACAAUUUUAUCCGAAAACAUGUCGGUCGAACUGAUGCAGAUUUUAUGAAAUACGAAGAUAUUAACUGGGCAUAUGAGAAUAUUAUUGAUUCAGAAAAUGCACAUGGUCGAGAAAGUGAUGAUGAUGACGACAACAAUGAUGAUGGUGAUGACAGUGAAUCAAACAAUUCAAGUGGUUUUGAAAUGGAAUUAACAAGAGAUGCUAUAACUUCUAGUUUAAUGAAUUCACUUUAAAUUGUAAAUGCUAUUGUAAAAUUUUUAGUAUUUAUAUUUGGUAUAUAAAUAUUAUCCCUUUUUAAAACUUUAAUCCAAAUAUAUGUGAUAUUUUAAUUUUUUAGGUUUAUGUUUUCUAUGUUAUGUUAAUAUCUAAUAUGAGUUAUAUAUUCAAAUACAUUUUAAAAUAAAAUAAUACAAAUGUGUCAAUAUCUAAUUACAAAUAUUUAAUUAUUAUAUUUAAAUAUUUAAAUAUAGUUUGUAUAUUCUAAUUAUAUUUAAUAAAUAAUUAAUAUUAAUUACUUAGAAAUAUUUAAAAUUAAUAUUAUAUACUAAAAUAUUAACAAUAAAUUAUAAUAAAUUAUUUUUUAUAUCUUUGCUAAAAUAUCAUAAUAUUAACUAAUUUGAACAUUAUUUAAAUACAUAUUUGUUACUUUAUAAUAUCAUUUCUAAAAUGGACAUUUUAUUCUUCAAAAGCACUUUUUGACAGCAAUAUCAAACACUCAAAAUUUUCAAAAGUACUUCUCAAAAGUACUUUUCCACAGCACUUUUCCAAAGCAAUGAAGAACUGGCCCAAAAGCACACUAGCUUUCGCCGUCUCAUCCGCAAAAAAACCUAAAAUGAUACACCAGAAACUCCCUCAAGACAGACAGAGCCAAGUCACUUUCUCGCUAAUCCCCAUCGAACCCUCCAAUUAAGCAAAGCCAUUUCAUAUUUCAACCCAGUGGGCACCACAAUUGCCUUACAAAAUUUACAAACUAAAAUGCUAAAAGUAAUCCAGAAAAAUACACAGCCCAAGCUCCAAAAUGCAAGAAAGUCCAUUUAAAAUAUGAGCCAAAUUUAGAUUUCAGUUUAAAAACUUGAAUCUAAUUCGUUUUUAAUUUUGUAAUAUAGUAUAUUCACUACAAGAAAAAUAUGAAUUGUCAACAUUAAAAUUUAUUGCUAAAUGUUGUAUUACCAUUACUAAGAGUUUAUUGCAACAACAAAAAAAUCGUUGCGAGGUCGUUGUGUAUACCUCUAUUGUACAAAAUAUGCACAACGAUUUUACAAAUUGAAAAGUCGUUUUAAUUAUAUAUAUUGCAACAACUUUUUUCAUUUUAAAAUAUAUAUUUUUUGUAACGACUUAAUUUAUUUGUAUAAAAAUGUUUUAGUUAUAGUAAAAUCUGUUAUAAUAUUUUUAACACAACCAUAAUACUUUAGUUACAAAAACUAUUACCUAACAAUAAUAUAUUGGUUGUAAUAUAAAAUUUGCAACAACUGUAAAUUAAAAUGCUAAGUUUUGUACGUAACAAUAAUAAUAUUGAUAUGUAAUUGUAUUACAUUACUCAAUGAUUAUAUGUCAUUGCCAAAAAAAUAUUUUAAUAACCAUAAAAUGUGGUUGCCAAAUCAUUUACUUAAGAACAAUACUACUGAUUACUAAAUAUUAUUCUGCAACUAUUUUAAUUUAUUGUGUACUACAUUGCUGUAACACCCCUAAUGUAACACCUCUUACCCGAGACCGUUUUUGGAGUCGAGCACGAGGCAUUACUUAGCUUAUCUUACUAAUUCGGAGCAUAAAAACUUGGUUUGAAAAUUUAUUUCACUAUUUACAGCAAAUCUGUCCACCCAUGCAGUAGUCACUUAUUUAAUUAUAACUCGAGUUACGAAACUCAAAAUUUAGAUCCGUAAAUUUUCCCUGAAAUUAGACUCAUAUAUCUUUUCACCAUAAAAUUUUUCAGAAUUUUUGGUUUAGCCAAUUAGUACAGUUUAUUAGUUAAAGUCUCCCCUAUUUCAGUGACCGACCAUCCUGACCUCUUGUCACUAAAAUUCAAUUAUCUCUUUGUACAGACUUCAUAUGGUGCUUCCACUUAUUUCUCCUGAAAAUAGACUCAUAAAGGAAUAUAUACAUAUAAAUUAUAACUCAUAAUUCCUUCUGUGAAAUUUUUAAUGAAUUUCUAAAGUCAGAACAGGGGACCUCAAAAUCAUUCUGACCCUGUCUCACUAAAAUUCAAAUAUCUAAAAAUAUACAACUCUUUUUCUUACUCUAUUUCUUUCAUGUGAAAUUAGACUCAUUCAGCUUUAAUUUAGUAUCUCACUCAGAUUCUAAUUCAAUUUCCACCAUUUUUGAUGAUUUUUCAAAGUUACCUCAAUGCAUAUAUCCGAAAACUGUUCCAUUGCAAAUUUUAAAAAAAUUCAAUAUAACCCCUUUGUAAUUAUCUAACCUUCCCUGCAAAUUUAAAUCACAACCAAUUCCAGUAUUUCAACUACUUCAUUUAAAUACUAAUGAAGUUCAACCAAUCAACCAUUUCAAACAAAAAAAAAACAUGUAUAUAUUUCGAUAUCUAACACAACCAUAACAUUCAAAUUUAUUUUGCAUACUUAGUCAUUCAUACUAAUACUUUUUACUUCAAUUCCCUAUACAUGCCAUAUAAAUCCAAAAAGUUGUUUAACAAAAUCUACCGGAGUAAAUCUGGAUAGUGUGAUCGUUGUUGUAGAUCCGAUCCUCCGAAAUAUAUAUAUACGUCAAUCUACAAGAAACAGUAAACACACACCAGUAAGCUUACAGAAAGCUUAGUAAGUUCACAGGCUCAUAAUAAUAUAUUACCAAAAUUUCACUAACAACAUUAACAAACAAAUAAAAAUUCAGCAUUUCCUGCCAACCCCAAUCUCAAAUAAUAAAUAUAUAUAAUCGUGCUCAAUUUCAGAUGUCAACUUCUAUUCCAACAUUUAGUUUCAAUUGCACUUACAAAUACCUGUCAAAUUAAGGAUCGUCUUACGGAAUUGAGUACAUCGUUUGCCCGUGCCACGAUUUGCUUGAACAUUUCACAUUGCUAUAAUUCAGUAUGGUUUUCUUCCUUGAAAUACCAUACCUACUUUUCACAACUUAGUAUGGUUUUCUUCAUUGAAACACCAUACCUACUUUUCACAACUCAGUAUGGUUUUCUUCACCGAAACACCAUACCUACUUUUCACAAUUUUCCAUGGAUCCACCAUGGACUUAUCCGUCAAUUCGUCGUUGGUUGCCAAACAUGUGUACUCAAUCCUGCGUAUCCCUUAAUUUGAACUAACAAUCUCAUCUUCUUCUCAUUUUUACCAUAAUCAUAAUUCAGUAACAAUAUACGAAUUUAUACAAUAUAUCAUUUCCACAUUAACAAUUAAUCAUAAAAAUUCAGCCAUAUGAACUUACCUGGGCCGAUUUGUAGAAGUUUUAAAAGUUCAGAAACUAGUUUGAUACUUUCUCUUUUCCGCGUUUAUCUUCGGAUUCCCGAUCUAUAAUAUAAAUUUUUCCAUUCAUUAGCAUCUAAUUCAAUACUAAUUUACUUCACAAUUUAUGCCUUUCAAUUUUCAAAAUUACACUUUUACCUCCAAAAUUUACAAUUUUUACAAUUUGGUCCCUACUCAAUUAACCCUUCAAUUGAUCAAAAUUUUCCCAAUUAACACUUUAUCCAACCAUUUUAGACUACUGAACAGCCUUUGAUAUUCAUAAUUUCAGUACAAAACCCCAAUUCCUAACUUUUUCACAAUUAGGCCCUAAAAAUCAUUUUCUACUAAAAUCAUUUUAAUAAGAUCAUAAUAUAAUGAAAUUAAGACUUAAAAUCUAUAAUAAUUCAUCAUAAAAUUCCAGAACUUAUUCAUGGUAACUUACAAAAUCACUCAUAAAUUCAAAAACUAACAAAUUCAAUAGUUGGACCUAGUUGUAAAAGUCACAAAACAUGAAAAUUUCAAAGAAAAAAGCAAGAAUUGAACUUACAUGAUGAAAAAUAUGAAAAACCAGCUUGAAAACUCUCUCCUAUUACGUUUUGGCUGAAGAAAAAUGAUGAUAUCUCUAGAUUUUUCACUUUUAUCUUUGUUUUAUAUAUUUAAUUUGUAAAAUUUCCAAUUUUGCCCUUAUUUCUCCUUACUUUCCUGCUGAUUUUUCUUGCCCAACCGUCCAGCCCAUAAAAUUUUGGGCCUAAUUGCCUUUUAAAUCCCUCCUCAUUAGUCACUUAAGCUAUUUAAUCAUAAUUUAACAAAUUUUACACUAGUCUCAAUUUAGUCCUUUUUAGUUAAUUGACUAACCAAACGUUAAAAUUUUCUAACGAAACUUUUAUACUAACUCAAUGACAUUCCAUAAAUAUUUAUAAAAAUAUUUAUGGCUCGGUUUAUGAACUCGAUGUCUCGACACCGCAUUUUAGACCCACUUUACCUAUUAAAUUCUUUUUAAAUCACAAAAUUCACUAAUUCAAAAUUCUUCUAAAUUCACACUUGACCCAUAAUUAUUAAUUUAUUAAAUUUUAAGACUCACUUGUCAGAUUUAGUGAUCUCGAAUCACUGUUUCUGACACCACUGAAAAUUAGGCUGUUACAACUAACCCGAAUCCGUCGUCAGAACAAAGUUAUGGAGCAUCACCGAAAUUUACAAAUUAAUUUUCAGACAUCUAUUUCAUCUAGCAUUCAUAUUUGAAACCAACCAAAAUCAAAAUAUUAAUGAGCCAACGUUGGCUAAAUUAACUUAUACAUGCCAUUAUAACUAGAACCAAAUCAUCCAAAAUUACCGAUAAAACCAAUGGAUAGUGUGAUAUAUCUCCGACAAGUUUCCAACCCAAUCGAGCUUCCGAUUAUCUGUAGGGUAAAUAAAAAAAAUAAAUGCGUAAGCAAUGAAUGCUUAGUAAGCUCGUGUAGUCUUUAAUCAUAUUAGUUCCUUUAAAAUAUGAAAUUUAUGCAUAUCAUGGAUAACCCAAAGUUGAUACCACAAUACCCAUGAAGCUAUAUUCAUCAACUUACAAGGUAAAUAAAUCCACAAUAUCACUUAAACACAUUAUCCCAAGCUUAGUAGGAUUUUAUAUAACUUUAUCUCUUCAUAAUUUCUUUAUUUUCAUUUUCAUUUCUUUACUUUCCACGCUUAUUCUAUAUGCGUGACACACAAGUCAUAAACAUUUCAUUCAACCAUAGUCACAAGCUAAUGCAUUUCCAAAGUCUUUUUCAAAUUGAUUACAUGAUAAGUUAUUUCAUAAGAAAUUGUAUAAUCUAAACCUUACCACUUUUUAGUGAGCGCUAGCAUAUUUUCACUUAAAUACUUUCCAAUUCAAUGCAUUAUAUAAAUAAUCAUAAUAUCAUUCAACCAAUAGCUUGGCACUUGCCUAAGCAUCAAGCAAGAAUACUAGUUAGUGUACUUGCACACAUUACAUAUAAACUCAUCAUGCAUAAUUUUCUUGUAUCAACAUAUUAAAGAUAAUCAUACAUUUACAUGUCAUGAUACAUAUCAUUCUCUUGUCGUUUCUUCAUAGACAUAUAUCAUUCAUUUCAUUAUUUCGAUAUUUCAUGUACCAUCAUUUUCAUGAAUUUCGUACAUACCAGUAAUAGUUCAUUUCAAAUUCAUGUUAUCUCACUUUAAAAUUUUACCCGUUAUAUCAUUUAAAUAUCAAUGGUUAUAUUUAUUUUAGAUCAAUACCAAUAAUAAUCUAUAAAUCUUUCAAUUCAAUCACAUAAGUCUUUUACCAUUUCUUUCUGAAUCGAAGAACGACUUACGGAUAUUAGUACAUCAUUCUUUGGUGCCAUAUUCCAACUAUGGUCUUGCACAUAUAAACACUGCCAUAGUCCAACCAUGGUCUUACAUUUAUAGUGCCAUAACCCAGUUGUGGUUUUAUCCAUCAAUUCAUCCUUUGUCACAGUACGAUUGUACUCAAUCCCGCGUUCAAUCCAAAUUGAGUAUUGAAUUCGAUAUUAUAUUUCCAAUAAUAAUUCAAUUUCAUAUUUUCUAUUACCCUUAUUAUUUCCCCAUAUUUAUCCCGUUGAAUUUCUUGGAAAUUCGAUGGAUUUUCAGAUGUACACUUUUAGUGUACAAUUCCGGGUCCGUCAAUUCAUAUUCAUGUGGGCACAUUUCCAUUUCAGAGAGCACACUCCUGCGAACCUCAUCCUUACAGCGGGAUUGCCAGUCCAGGCUAAAUCCCCUAUAAUAUAAACUCAUAGAGUAUUGUCGGGAUUACCAGUCCAGGCUAAAUCCCCUGCAACGACAAUUAUUGUAAUGAUUUUGGAUCUGAAUUAUCAGUCCAAGCUAAAUUCAGACCCUAAUUCAGAUUACCCGUCCGGGUUAAAUCCAUUUUCCACAUAUUCUUCGGGAUGGCUAUAUCAGGAUAGGAUCACCCGUCCGGGCUAGAUCCUUUUUACCGUCAAUUCCUUUUCAGAGAUCUAUCGAAUUUUCCUUCCAUUCAACCGGGAUUUCUUCCCCUUUUUAUAAAAUAUAUCAAUGUUUCAUCAAUUUUCAUACAAUGAACAUUCAAAUCAUAUUACAUUAAUAACAAACAUUUCAAGAAUUUAAGAAUAUAAUUCAAGUUACACGAACUUACCUCAUUACUUGUUCGUGUUUACAAUUUCACUAAUUUGAUGUCUUUUCUUUUCCACGUUCAAGUUCCAUAUUUGAGUCAUUCGGAUCUUUCUAAACAAAUUUGAUCAUCAUUUUCAUUCAUUUCAUAUUCUGAUAUAUUCAAUUAAUACUCUAGGCAAGAUUACCAUAUUGCCCCUAAGCUUUUAAUUAAUGACGAUUUUAAUCCUUGGGCUCAGAAAAAUAAAUUAUUGUAAUUUUAAUCCUUGUUUUAAGCCUAAUUAUUCCCAUACAUAUUGAUAACAGCCCAUGAAUUCUAUAAAAUAUUAGAAUUUUUCAUAAUUUCAACACUUUUCAAUUUAAUCCCUAAAACAUGUUUUCACCCGAUCUUGUUCUAAAUUUCAUUCAAUUUUGUAAUUUAAAUAAAUAAACAGUCCAUUUCAUGCAAUUUGGUCAUUUUUGACAUUUUUUACAAAUUGCCCAUAAAGUUUUACUUUUAUUCAAUUUAGUCCCUGAGUCUAAAACAUGCAAAUUAUCCAUGCUAACUGAAUAUUCACAUAUAUAUCUUCCUCAUCCUUCUCUUCAUUCCACUUCCUUAAUUUAUAUAAAAUGCUUAUAAGUAACAUUAUCUAUGAUUUCACAAUUUACUUGUAAAUUUAUUCAAAGCUAUCCAUUUGAGUCAUAAUCACUAAAUUAUUUUUAUCUUGAGCUACGGAACUUCAAAUUAGGAUCUGCUAAUUUUUCCUGAAACUAGACUCACAUAUCUUCUUACCAUAAAAUUUUUAGAAUUUUUGGUUCAGCCAAUAAGUACAACUUAUUCUUUAAAUUCACCUCUCUUCUGCUAUCUGACAAUUCCGACCCUUCUUCACUUAAAAUUAAUUAUCUCUUUGUAUAGAAUUUGGAUUAUGUCCCCAUUUUUUUCUCUUGAAAAUAGACUCAUUAAGGAUUUUAAACAUAUAAAUUCUAACCCAUAAUUAUUUUUUUACUUUUUAAUGAUUUUUCCAAGUCAGAACAGGGGAACCCAAAUUCAUUCUGACCUUGUCUCACAAAAUUUAUUAUAUCUCAUAAUUUACGAUUCUAUUGCUUACACCGUUUCUUUUAUGAGAAAAUAGAAUCAAUAAGCUUUAAUUCCAUAUUUUAUUCAUACUCUAAUUCGAUUUUCAUAAUUUAUGGUGAUUUUUCAAAGUGAGCCUACUGUUGCUGUCCAAAACUGUUUUAGUACAAUAUGUUUAUUACCAUGUUUAUAACACCCUUAUUUUCUUUCUUUACACUGUGUCUAAUCACUUUCUCUUAUUUUCUCUUCACUAACAUAUCAAGAACAUAGGACCAUAUAUACAAAAACUUUACAUUAACAUCAUUUCCAUACUUUUUCAAUAAUAUUAAACUUAAAAAUAUAUUAAAAUCUUAAUGUACUUACCUUGUCAUAUUGAUUUCAAUCUUUAACUUGAUUUUCUCUCUCCUCCAGCAUCUAUUUCUUGAAUCUAACUUGAUAUUCUAGCUCCCCAUAGUCUCCUUGUUAUCUUUCUCUUUGAUGGAUAUGGAAAUUCUUUUGAUUUCUAGGUGAAAAUGGUGAAUUUUUGGUGGAAGGACUAAAUUGUAAAGAAAGUAAAACUUUCUUUCUUUCUCUCUUUUCCUCACGUUAGUGCAUGAAAAAAAAUGGGUGGGUUGCAUGAUUCUUCAUCUUCCUUUUCUUAUAUAUAUACUAAAUAAAAUAAUAAUAAAAUAUUAAAAUAUCAUUUAAAAAUCAAAUUAAAAUACUAAUAAACUAAUAUUUAUUUAUUUAAUCAAAAAUAUCUCCAACAUCAUCAUCAUCUUCUAUAUUUCCCUCUCUUCUAAUUGAUCAUUUUGCCCUUUAUGAUCUUUUAAAAUUUUAUCCUUGAGUCAUCACUUAAUUUGGUAAAAUUACUAUUUAGUCCCUCAAAAUUCUUCACCUUUUUCAAUUUGGUUCUAAUCCAUCCAUUUUCCUUAGUUUCUAGAUCAUUCCACCCUUAAAAUAUUUACACCAUUGGUCCUUCAAAUUUUUAUAUUUACACUUUAAGCCCUCAAUUUUUGAGUAUUUACUCUUGGGCAACAAAAUGUUUUUCACUUUUACGAUUUAAUCCUUUCUUGAACUAAUAUGUCAUAAUAUACUUCUCAAUGUUGACAUAACUCAAAAAUUUCCCCUUUUUGUCGCUUUAUUUCCUUACUUUAUUAUAUCAAAGAUAAUAUCUUACUGUAAAAAAAUUUUAGGGUAUUACAAUUGCGCAACAACAAUAUUAUUUUUAAUCAAAUGGCUAUAUAUAAUUUAAUAAAAUUUUAAAAAAUUUCUUAAUAAAAUUUUAAAAAAAAUUUCUUCAUCCUCUAACUUAAUAAAAUUUUUAAAAAAAAUUCAUGUUAGAUUGAAUUGACAUUGAGGUUAUAUAUAGUCACUGGUCAUGUCAAAGAGAAUAGCUCUACCAAAAUAAAAAAUUUAUUUUUAUUAAAAAUUUUAAAAAAAAUUAAUUGCAGCAUAGUAACCGUCAUUCUCUAUGACUCUAUCAAAUAAAAUAAUAAUUUUAAUUUCAAAUUAAAAAUAAAAAUCACUUUAAAAAUUUGACAUAAUAAAAGUGGUGUGACCAAUUUAUUUGGCUCCCGAAAUAUUAUUAUUUAUUUUCUAGUUCCCAAAAUAUUUAAAAAUAUUGGUGUUAGAGUGGUAUUUAUACGGGUGAAGCCAAAUAAAUUAACUUUACCUACAAAAAUUAAUUUUUGUUAUAAAAUAAAGAGAGAUGGAGAGAAUGAAGAACAAAUAAAAUAUGAAAGCAAUAGAGAAUGUACUUUAUUGAUCAAAGGGAUGAUUACAAUGCUUCAUCGGAGUCUCUAUUUAUAGGCAUAAGAAGUAUAAAAGAAGUAGAGGUCUAAUUCUAAUAACUAAUAGAAUUUAAAGUAUAUCAAAGCUUUAUCUUGAUCAUGAUGGACAUCCACUAAAUAAGAUAUUUAUAACACUUCCCCUUGGAUGUCCAUUGGUGGAUAAUGUGCCACGUUAAAACCUUAUUAGGAAAAAUCCUGUGGGAUAAAAACCUAAUGAAGGAAAAAGAGUACACAAUCUUCUAUUACAAGUUGUCUCAUUAAAAAUAUUUACCAGGAAAACCCAAUGGGACAAUACCUUGGUUAAAGGAAAAGAGUACAACUUAUUUUAGACUCCCCCUAAUAGCAACAUUACAUUACAUCUUUAAGUUGACGCAUUCCAAUCUUGUGUAGUAGUCUUUCAAAUGUUGAAGUUGGCAAUGCCUUAGUAAAAAUAUAUGUUAAAUUAUCACUAGAAUGAAUUUGUUGAACAUUUAUAUCACCUCUUUUCUCAAGAUCAUGGGUGAAGAAUAAUUUUGGCGAAAUAUGUUUCGUUCUAUCACCUUUGAUGUAACCACUCUUCAAUUGAGCUAUACAUGUUGCAUUAUCUUCAUAUAAGAUAGUUGGCAUCUUUUCCUAUAAAGGCAAAUUACAUAUCUUCUAGAUAUGUUGGGUCAAUAACCUUAGUCAAAUACACUCUCGACUUGCCUCAUUCAUUGCAAUUAUUUCUACAUGAUUUGAAUAAGCAACAGCUAAUGUUUGCUUUGUCGAACAUCAUGAUAUGGUAGUACCCCCCUCACAUGUAAAUAAAUAUCAUGUUUGAGAUCGACCUUUAUGUGGAUCUGGUAAGUAUCCAGCAUCAGCAUAGCCAACUAAUAAGGAUUUUGAAUCAUCUGAAUAAAAUAAACCCGUACCAAUGGUCCCUCUGAAAUAUCUAAAUACAUGUUUAAUUCCAUUCCAAUGCCUACAUGUUGGAGAAGAACUAAAUCUUACUAACAAGUUUACAGUGAAAGCUAUAUCAGGUCUUAUGUUGUUUGUAAGAUACAUCAAUGCCCUUAUGGCACUUAGAUAUGGUACUUUAGGACCAAGAAACUCUUCAUCAUUCUCGCAAGGAAGAAAUUGAUCUUUAUUCACAUCUAACGAUCGUACAACCAUCGGAGUAGUUAAUGGGUGUGUUUUAUCCAUGUAAAAUUUCUUUAAUAUCUUUUUCAUAUAAGUUGAUUAAUAAACAUGAAUUUUAUCUUUUAAAUGCUUGAUUUGUAAUCCAAGAUAAAACUUUGUUUUUCCAAGAUUUUUCAUCUCAAAUUCUUUCUUUAAACAAUUUAUUGUAUUUUGAAGCUCUUUAGGAGUUUCCAAUAAUAUUUAGAUAAUCAACAUAAACAACAAUUAUUACAAAAUAUGAUCCAAACCUUUUUAUAAAGACACAUGGACAAAUUGGAUCGUUUUUGUAACCUUCCUUUAACAAAUGUUCACUAAUACGAUUGUACCACAUGUCGAAACCAUUUUUUAAGUUUGAAAAAACAGGGAUCGACUUUUAAAAUAAAAACGGGAGUCGCCACCGAUCUUUUAUUAAGGUGUGACCGGUUCACCAUUAAAAUGAUUUUUGGUCUGCGAAUUUUGAGAAAAAUAGGUUCGGGAGUCGGUUACGCACGAGGAAGGGUUAGCACCCUCGUAACGCCCAAAAUUGGUACCGAAUCGAUUGUUUAAUGUCUUAAUGUCGAGAAUUUGAAAAGAUUUUUAAAAUACGAUCAUUUGAAAAGAGAAUUUGAAUAGAAUGAAUUUGAUUGAUGUGACUCACUUAUAAAUUGUCACACUCAGUAAGUUAGAGUGUAACGUUUUAAAUCCUUAAAAUUAAGUUUAUCUUUUAACUUUUGAAACCUAUGCAUUUUAAGAAAGAUAUCCGAUUAUUUGGGUCAAAUGAUAAAAUCAAAACCCAGUAAGUUAGGGCUCGAUUUCACAAAAUUCCUAAAUAUCGAAUAUUGCCUUUAUUUUAAAGUCGAGAUAGCAAAAUGCCAUAUCCAGUAAGUUUGGAUCCAACAUUUUGAAGUCUCAAAAGUUUUAUUUUAAAAUUGUAUGGUUUUACCAAAAUAAACACUUGGCUAUUCAAAUUCAUCGAGAAGAAUGGAAGCCCAGUAAGUUAGGGCACCAUUCUCUCGAGAGUUAUGGACACCAGGCCUUUUUUGAAAAUUAUGAAAUAGAACGAUUGUUGUGCUUAAAAAAAACAAACAAUUUUUAUAAAUGUAGCAUGAUUGAAUGGUAAUAUACAAUGUUCAAGAUAAAUGGCAAUCCAAACACACACUAAAAAAAACAAGUAAAUAAUAGGUAAAUGCAAAUAUCAAUAAUAAUUCUAAUCAUAUCUUACAAACAUCAAUAUUAGCAAUUUAACAUCCAAUAAAUUAAUAAUCAAUUUUCUAAAAGGUACAUCAAGACAAUGAGAGAAAAAAUAAUUAAUAUCCUAUACAUAAAAGUUCUAAAAUAAAUUAAAUAUAUGAAUUCAAAAUAGACUCAAAAUAGAAUUAGAAUAACCAUUGAAUAGUCGAAUUUGAAAUAAAUUUGAAGCAAAUAAAAUACAUAUAUUAGCUUAAUAUAUAUAAAAGAUAAACAUAAUAAUAAUAAUAAUAAUAAUAAUAAUAAUAAUAAUAAUAAUACAUAUACUCGAUUAAAAAACAUACAUAAAAUAUUGAAAGUAAAACGAAAUUUAAUGGGUAGCAAACAUAAAUAAAAAUAAAAGAAAGAUUAAAUUUGAACUUCAAAAAAAAGAGGGACUAAAACAGCAAAUAGACGCAUAAUUCUAAUGAUUUUAAUCUGCUUGAUGAAAACGACGACGUUUGAAUAUGGAUUUAAAUGAAAUCAAAAUCAAAUCCACAGUUCAAAUUUAAAAAGUGAAUAAAAUCCAAUUGAAAUUAUACUGAACACGGAGAGACUCAUUGCGCAAAUAGACCAACGAGCGAAAAUGCGCGGAUCCUCCCCAGGUCGGGUCACACACGCGGGUCAUAUGGCCAAUACGGCGCCGUUUUAAGGCCACUGACGCAGGCCUUAAACGGUGUCGUUUUCCGCACCAUAAAUAUAAACUUAAAAACCCUAAAAAUAGCAGCCAUCCUUUGUCCUGGAAGAAAACCUAGAGCAAAGCUACUCCCCCCUGCACCACUUCAGCAUCGGAGCCCAAAGUCGACUGGUUCCGAACCAACGAGGGAUUCGACGGUAGACUUAUAGGUACGAGCCCUGACUCCCCCCUUCCUUCUCUCCUUUUUUUUAUGCUUAUAUAUAUGUAUUAAUAACAAAACAAAAAGAAAGAAAAGCGAUCGGAAAAAGAAAAGAAUCGAUCAGAGAAAAAAGAACCUUUUUUUUAUUGAUUUCCUUUUUGAUACAGUUUUUCGUGUGUUUUUUGUGUGCGAGAGUAACCCCCUUUUUAUAAUGCCUAUUUUGCUUUUUUUUUUUUAGCCAGAAAACAUGAAAAGAAAAGAAAAAAUGUUUUUCCUUCUUUGUUGUUGCUGCUGUUUUCUGUUUGUCUUCUCUUGCAGGUACGGGUGUGCGUGGCGUGGCUUGACAUGUACGGAGGCAAAGGUUGGCGAGGAGCGGCUCGGUUGGGUCUGUUGUGCGAGGGAGUUGCGGCGCCUGGUCUGUUCCAGAAACCCUAGGGUUUUUGGAAGCUGUUUAGGGCUAUUAGUGUUUGGGCUUAUUGGGCCUGGUGUAAUUGGGGUUAAACUUUAGUGGGCCUUAGUGGGUUAAUAACUUGUAUUGGACUGUUUUUAUUGGACUUUUGAUUUAUUUGGCUUUUUAUUUUUUUAUUUACUUGUUUUUUUAUAUGCAUGUGGGCGGGCACAAAUUGGGUUUUACACCACAUACAUUCAGAUUAUUUUUAUCCAUAUAAACUUUUCUUUAAUUUGAUUGAGUAAUUUUCUCAAGAAACUCUAUAUCAUUUUGGGAUUUUAAAUCUUUCAAGGAUUUUCAUAUAAAUUUCACUAUCAAGUGCACCAUAUAAAUAAGAUGUAACAACAUCCAUUAAAUGCAUGUCAAGUUUUUCUCGUACUGCCAAACUAAUAAGAUGUCUCUUCAUAAUCAAUGUUGGGCCUUUGCGAAAAUCCUUUUGCUACAAGACGAGCUUUAUAUCUUAUGACUUCAUCAAUUUCAUUUCAUUUUCGCACAAAUACUCAUUUAUAUCCUACCGACUUUACACCUUUAGGUGUUUUGGACUACAGGUCCAAAAACUUCACGUUUAGAAAGUGAAUCCAAUUAUACUUGAAUUGCAUCUUUCCAUUUUGACCAAUCUUUUCUAUUUUUACAUUCCUUAAUAGAUUUAGGCUCAGGAUCCUCAUUUUCUAAUGUUAUUUCAAUAGCAACAUUAUAAGCAAAAUUGUUGUCGACAACUACAUUAUUUUUGGUUCCAUCUUUUUAUCGUAUUGACAUAACUUAUCGAUAUCUCUUUAUUUUCAUCAUUUCUAUUUUCAUUUUAAGGUACCUGAAUCUCUUCUUGAGUUUUAUAAUUAGUUAUAUCAUAGGUCUCUUCAGGAACUCCUGCCUCCACUAUGUGACCGCCUUGAAUGUUUACUCCUUUUCUUUUAUAAGGAUUUUUAUCUUUGGAACCGACCGGUCUUCUAUGCUUCAGGCAUGGAUUACUUUCUUUUGCAUUAACAGUUUGCCCUAUUAGGACAUCAAUUCGUAUUGGAGCAUUUUCAGCUGGUAUUUGAAAUUUAAUGAAUUUGGCAAUUGAUUUGUAAAAUAAAUUAUCUGUUGAACUUCUACUUCACGUUGCUUUGUACGAGGAUCUUAAAUAUUGAUAAUUCAGUUCAAGUACUUUAUUAAUCCAACUUUUAUUCUCUCACUCCAAUGUUGGGAAAACUGACAACUCAUGUCAUAACUAAAUACCGAAUUAAUAGCUCAAAAAUAAUAUAAGGAGACUCAUAUAAAUAUACAUUCCCAAUCUCUUAUUAUGACCCAUCUUUGUGCGUUGUGGUGGAGCAGUUGGAACAUAUAUCGCACAUCUAAAAAAUGUAAGAUGGAAAAUAUUUGGCUCUUAACCAAAAAUCAAUUGUAAUGAAGAGUAUUUAUAAUUUAUUGGCUUGAUGCAUACAACAUGUAAAUCAAUACAAUCUCAUGCUGAAAUAGAAAGUUUUGUUCUCAUAAGUAAUGAUUUAGCUAUUAGUUGGAGGCAUUUGAUAAACAAUUCAGCUAAAUCAUUUUGUGUGUGAUCAUGAGCUACAAGAUGUUUAACUUUUAUCCCAAUUGACAUGCAAUAAUCAUUGAAAACUUGGGAUGUAAACUCACUAACAUUAGCAAGAUAACUUGUUUUAAUUGCAUAAUCUGAAAUUAAUCAUUUAAACAAGCAGUCUCGCAAACAAAAGGUUGCGAGUUGAUAACGCAUGUGAUUAUUUUGUAGAUGCAUCUACCAAAAUCAUAUAAUAUCAAAAUCAUCCACAUGGUGGAUGAAUGGGCCCAUAUUCAUUUCAGAAAUGCAAGACAUUAAAUCUCAACUUUAGCUAGUGAGUUUCUAAGAUUCAACUUUCAUUGAGAACAAGCAACAAAUGAGAAUUCUUUAAAUUAAAUAAUCUUUUGGAUCUUUAAUGAAUGUCCAUAUGAAUUCUCAAUUAAUUUUUGAAUCAUAUAUGAUCCAGGAUGGUCUAACUGGUUACGCCAAGUAGUAAAUGCAUUUGUAUUAGUAAACUUCUUGUUUACUUUAACAUGUGUUUCAAUUGUACUAAAUUGUAAUAAAUUGAUAAUUUUAUUGUCAUUCUUUUAUUUUGUAUCCACAUAUAAAUACUAUAGUGACAUUUACUAUUGGAAAUGUCUAAAUCUAUGUGAAGUCUAUAAUGCCACUAAGUCAAUAAAUAAAUAUAAUUUUCAAAUAAUUAUAUAUAAUAUUCGUUUUAGGGAAUAUGUCAAAAUAUUCAAAUAUAAGGCAUUUGGUCUAGUGGUAUGAUUCUCGCUUAGAGUGCGAGAGGUCCCAAGUUCGAUUCAAAAUAUAAAUAACUCAAUCCUCUUUUGAUUCAUAUCAAAUAUAAUCUUUUCCUCAUUCACAAUCUCAACAUGAGAUCCAUUAUGAAUAUCUUUUAAAACUAAUGCAUUAACUAUCACAAACUUUGUGCUUUUUAGAUAUUGAUAUAUUAUCUCUUCUAGAGCUUUCAAUUAACUUUUUACUAUCAAAUAUUGGAAUAUAUUUGUUUAUUUCAGCACCAAAUAAGAUAAAUAUUUUCUAUCUGUAAUGAUAAAAUUUAUUACUAGAUUCUCAUAUCCUUCCUUAAAGGAUAUUAUCAGAGACAAAAUAUUUGGGCAUGCACCACAUAUGUGACCAGUAAUCUCCAUAUCACAUUGGUAACAUAAGUUAUAUUUACCAUUUGAAAAUUUAUCUUGAGAACUCUCAUUGUUCUCUUAUUUAUUACUAUGUUCCUACUUUUAGUGGUCCAUGAGUAUAUCCUUUAUUUUCUUUAUGUUUACAUUCUCUUCGGGGAAUGCAACAAAUCUAGUAGGAUGGACUUAUAAACAUCCCAAUAGAUUCUUUAUUUCAUAAUCACCAUCGCAAACAUGCGUGAGAUUUAAAUCAAAAUUUAUCUAUUCAUAUUGUCAUGAUUAGUCUCCAAUUAUAAUAAACAUGAUAUAAUACAUAAAACAUAAUAAAAUAUACCUGAAGAUCUUUAACAUCAUCGUCAUCAUAUUGACUAUUAUCACGAGCACUAUUACAAGUAGUAAAACAACUUUGUUUUCGUAAUAACAUUUACAAUCUAAUAGUAAAAAUUAUUUAAUAAAUAAUCAAAAUUUGUGUAUCAAAAUUUUCAUGUACGAUGCUUGAAAAUUAUCUGAUACACAUUGUAUCAAAUUUCAAUACCACAUAUAUGUUAUAAAAUCUUAUCUUGCUCUAAUAAAAUAUUUAUAAGUUCAAUUUAAAAGAUAUCAUACAAUUAUUCAAUAUUAGAAAGCUAAUAAGACUAAAUAGAUCCUAUCAAAUUUCCUUUUAUUCAACAAUGGUAGGUUAUUUAGACUUUCCACCAUAAUUUUAAUAAAAUUUCAAGAAUAAAUAACAAGAAAAAAAAUUUAAAACACAAAAAUAUUAUGCAUAAUAUAAUUUAAUUAAAAAAACUUUAAAAAUAGAAAAAAGAACAUACCAUAUUAAUAGUAAACAUAUCUAAUCAAUAAUUAUGUCUUUUAAAUAAAAAAGCAAAAAUCAAAUACUAUCAGAAUGUGAAAUUUAUGUCAAAUAAAAAUUAAUAGUACUUAUACCUUAAUUGAAAAAGAAAAUAUGGCCGAAAUAUAAAAGUUUCUUACCAAAUCUAUACUUUACCCAUACUUGUACAAUAAAUCAAAGAUCAAAAAUAAGAAUCACAAUCCAUUCUGAGAUUGAAUCUUUCAACAUCCUGAAAAUGAAGUUGUAAGGGAGAGUUUAAGGUGAAAAGGAAUUUGAUUUGUGGGACGACUUCGAAAGAUUUUGAAAAAAAAAGAAAAUCAUCGUGUUGAUAACGUGUUAUAAAAUAAAGAGAGAUGGAGAGAAUAAAAAAUAAAGAAAACAUGAAAACAAUAAAAAAAAUAUACUUUAUUGAUCAAAGAGAUUAUUACAAUGUUUUAUCAGAUUUUAUUUAUAAGCAUAAGAAGAAUAAAAAAGAUAGAGAUCUAAUUCUAAUAACUAUUAAAAUUUAAAAUACAUAAAAAUUUUAUCUUAAGCAUGAUCAACAUCCACUUAACUUAAUAAGAUAUUUAUAAUAAUUUUUAAAUUCUAUAGGCGAAUUAUUAAGUAACGGGACAAGUAGGUGGUGAAAUUAAUAAAAAAAAAAUUCUGAAUUAUUUUUGUAAAAAAGCGGCAAAACCCAGAUUACCACAACAGAUGCAAAAUCUGAUCGGUGAAGUUAAGAAAAUGGAGACCAUGGGAAAUCUUCUAAUCCUUUUUCCAGCUUCUUUAUGCCUCUUCCUUUUCGUUGCUUUGCUCAAUGUUUUCUACAAGUAUUGGUGGAUACCUCAUCGUGUACAGUUCAUCAUGAAUUCACAAGGAAUCAGAGGACCUCCUUAUGAAUUUAUCCAUGGAAACAACAAAGAAGCUGCCCAAAUGCUCAUGGAAGCAUCUACCAAACCUAUGGCCUUGACACAAGAUAUAUUUCCCGAGUCAUGCCUCAUGUUUACUCCUGGAUCAACAAAUACGGUGAGAAUAUGUUUUUUUUUUCUCUUUUUGGGGUUGCAUUUUCUGAUUAACCUCCACUUUUCAAGAAAAGAAAUCAUUUUCUUUCAGGGAGGACUUAUCUUAGCUGGAAUGGAAUUCGAGCUCUACUGCUAAUUACAGACCCAGAUCUGGUGAACGAGGUCCUUAAAAACAGUGAAAAGGCUUUUCCAAAGCCGAAGGCUUCAUAUUUCUUCGACAAGCUACUAGGCGACGGUCUUGGUUCAACCGAAAGUGAGAAAUGGGCAAGGCUAAGGAAACUGGCCCAUUAUGCCUUUCAUGGGGAGAGCUUAAAAGUAAAUCAUCGCCACAUUCUACUCUAAUUAUUGUAGUGGAACAUCUACAAACUUGAUACUUUUUUUCAGAAUAUGAUUCCAGCAGUAGUUGCUAGCGUUGAAACCAUGCUUGAGAAAUGGAAAAGUAAGGAGGGCAAAGAGAUAGAAGUGUUCCAAGAGUUCAGAUUAUUGACUUCAGAAGUGAUAUCCAGAACCGCCUUUGGUAGCAGUUACUUGGAAGGGGAGAAGAUUUUUGACAUGUUGAUGAAGUUGACAGUAAUUGCAGGCAGAAAUAUUUAUAAAGCAGAGAUUCUCAUCAUCAGGUAACUUCAUCAAAUCUUUACUUUGUUAAUCAGCAUACUUCAGCUGCCAAUGGGUUGAUUUAACCUGGUUUUCCUUUUCAGCAAGUUUUGGAAAUCUGCUGAUGAAAUUGAAUCAGAUAAAAUUGCCAAAAUGAUACAUGAUUCUGUGAUGAAGAUUGUUAAAAAAAGGGAAGCCAAAGUAGUGACCGGAGAAGCUGAUAACUUCGGUCGUGAUUUUCUGGGAUUUCUGCUUAUCAUGAGGCGGACGAGAAAAAUAGGCUUUCGAUACAAGAUUUGGUAGAUGAGUGUAAAACUUUCUAUUUUUCUGGGCAAGAAACAGUCAAUUCCUUGCUUGCAUGGGCAACCCUGCUUUUAGCAAUACACACCGAUUGGCAAGAUAAAGCAAGAGCAGAGGUGAUUGAGGUCUUUGAUAAUCAAAACCCAGAUUCUGAAGGGAUGGCCAAAUUAAAGACGGUAAGCAAACUAUACAAAUUCAAUAGCUUGAAAACUAACAGUGAACAUUUAUAUUGCCCUUUGGAUUUCUUUUUCUCCAACAGAUUACCAUGAUUAUCAAUGAAACUUUACGGCUCUAUCCUCCUAUAAGUGGCAUGAUAAGAAAAGUAGGAAGAGAAGUCCGAUUAGGAACACUUGUCCUGCCUACUCAUUCACGGGUCGACAUGCGAAUCAUAGCACUUCACCAUGAUCCUGACUUAUGGGGAGAUGAUGUUGAUCUUUUCAAACCAGAGAGGUUUGCUGAGGGUUAGCCGAAGCUACUAAGUACAAUGCAGCUGCAUUUAUGCCCUUUGGAUUGGGACCUCGAUGUUGCGUAGGCAUGAGCUUUACAAUCAUUCAAGCGAAAAUUGCACUUUCCAUGAUUCUGCAACGCUACACUAUCAACCUCUCCCCUAGCUAUGUUCAUGCACCUUUACAACGUCUUACACUCAGGCCACAACAUGGGAUUCAGUUGUUGUUUCAUUCACUACGUUAUGAUGCUUAAAAUUCUAGGCUGUUGGUCUCCAAUAUAGUAAUAUAUAAUAAAAUGUGGGUAAUACUGUAUUUUGCAACCAUAUGAUGAUAUAUGGUUUUGGGAUUUCAUGUUUUGUUGAUAUUGUUAAAGGUUAAAAAGGUAUUACAGCAAACGUCGCCACCACAGGAGCAGGCCCUACAGUCCUGUACAUAACAUAAUCAACAACAAAAUAGUCCACCAAAGAGAAAUCAAUUCAAACUACCCCAAAAAGCUGGAACGGCAGCGGCAAAUCCAGUCAGCUCCCUGAACAUUAUACAGCAACACAGGAACAAGAACAUCACAACCCAGUCAUAUACAUGCCAUGAAGACAUUGGACUCCACAUUUUGCUAAAGUAUCAGCAAAGCAGUUAGAUUCUCUAUACACAUUCACAAAGGAGACAUUAUGGGAUCUCAUCACACAGCUUGGAAUAUGACCCAUCCAGCAUUUGAGAAACGGUGAAGAUGUCAAGUCCAGGAGCUCCAAACAAUGCCUCAGCCGGUGGACCCUAUAAUUAGGUGUCUUUCUUCCAUUACUACUGCAGUAGUGAAGUUUUUAUUGCACUUGGUUCCCUUCUUCCAGAGUUUCUGCUUGAAGCACUCACUCCUGGAGCCGGCCAUUGCUUGUUUUCAUUUUUAAUUUUUUAAUAUAAUAUAUUACAAAAUAUGAAUGGUCGUUAAAAUUUAUUGCUAAAUGUUGUAUUACCAUUGCUAAAAUUUUAUUUUAACAAAAAAAAUCGUUGUGAGUUCAUCAUGUAUACCUCCUUUGUAUAAAAUAUGCACAGAAAUUGAAAAGUCGUUUUUAAUUAUAUAUAUUGUAACAUCUUUUUUCGUUUUAAAAUAUAUUUUUUUUCUUAGCGAUAUAAUUUGUUUAUCUAAUAGUGUUUUAGUUAUAAUAAAAUUUGUUACAAUAUCUUUAACACAAUGAUAAUAUUUACAAAUACUAUUACGUAACAAUAGUAUAUUGGUUGCAAAAUAAAAUUUGCAAUAAUGUAAAAUUAAAUUGCUAAGCUUUUUACGUAACAAUAAUAAUAUUGAUUACCAAAUAUUAUUUUGUAAGGAUAUUUUAUUUGGUUGUGUAUUACAUUGUGCAAUGAUUAUAUUUCAUUGCCAAAAAAAUAUUUUAGCAACCAUUAAACGUGGUUGUCAAAUCAAUUACGUAACAAUAAUACUAUUGGUUGUUAAAUAUUAUUCUGCAAUGAUGUUUUAAUUGGUUGUGUACUAAUUGUGCAACAACUGUAAAAAUUUAUUUAAACAACCAUAAAAUGUGGUUGCCAAAUAGUUUGCGCAACAACAACAACAAUAAUAUAGUUGCUAAUGCAUUUACAUAACAAUUUUUACUUAGUUAUGAAAUAUUAAUUUACAAUGACAUAAUAUUUGGUCACGUCUUAUAUUACACGAUAUUUAAAUAUUGUGCAAAGUUAAUUUUAACAACCAUAAUAUUUUGUUGCAAUAUUUUUAUAUGUAACCAUAUUAUAAUGUUCGUUGAAAUUUAUUUUGCACCAAAACGUUAUCUAAUUGAUAAUAAAAAGAAGUAAUUACAAAUAUUAAAGAAAUUAGUUAUUUGUUUAAAAACAAUAUUACCAAAAUUUUAAGCUCGUUUGUUAGAGUCCAGCCUAAAAAUGGGCCUAAAUUUUUUUCAAGUCCAACCCAGAUAAAAAUGUCAAACCCGGUCCAACCUCGUCUUCUCGAAUGAGGGUUAGCAAAAUUCGAUUUAAUUCAAAAAAUUUAAUAAAAUAUUCAAAUUUUAAAUUAAAUAGUUCGAGUUAUUAAUGUUAAUCGAUUUAUUUGGAUUAACUCGAAUAAAAAAAAUUAAAAUUUUCAGUUUAACUCGAAUAUGAAUUACAUAAUUCGGGUUAUCUGAAAAUCUGAAUAAAAAAAUAUAAAACUACGUUGUUUUGAUAAAUAUUUAGAUUUUCUAAAGUUGAAGCCAAAACCAUUAAGUUAAAAACAAAACAAUUAUAUUGUUUAUGUAGUUAUAUAAUCUUGUAUUUCGUCUACUAGUUAAAUAAGCGGCCCAUGUAAAUGCAACAUUGAGUAUAAAUAAUAGGAUUUGUUAACUCUAAUUGACUUGACUCAAAAUUUUUUGACUCUAUUCGAUUCGAAAAAUUUUCAAAUUGAGUUCGGUUAAUAGGAUUCGUCAACUCGACUAACUCAAAAUUUUUUUACUCGAUCUAAUAUUCACCCCUAUUUCUAAACUAUAACAGUUAAUGGAAACUUGUUAAGUCAUAAAAAAUUCAAGUAAAUGUUUUAAACUUGAGUUUUAUGAAUACAAAAAAUAAUUUUAAAAGCUAUUUUAAAUUAUAAAAUUUAUUUGGUAUAAAUUAAAAUUAAAUACAAAAUAUAAUUAGAUUGUUUGAUAAAAUAUAAUUUUUUAAGAAUUUAAAGGUGGGGUAUUUGAAGGAUUUAAAAGAGAUAAAAUAAGAAUAAUUGAAACAAAUUCUACAUUAAGUUAUUUAUCUACUUUUCAUUUUCCACAUCUUUUCGUAGAAAAAUCCAAUCAUUUGUCUUUUAUUAUGAAUCAUCAAACUUGCUUAAAAACAUAAAUUAUUAGUUGAUUUAUUUUGUUUUCAAUUCAUUAUCAAACAAGCCCUUAGUUAAUGUUCUCCAAGUUCAAGUGCCAUUUAUGUCAAAAAAAAGUUUAAGUAAUAGUAACAUAAACAUUCAUUUAAUUAUAACAAUAAAGUUAAAGCCAUGAAUAUUUUCAAAAAAAUUCAAUUAAGUCCUUGAAUGUUAAAAUUUCAAUCAAUUAAGCUCUUUGAUAGUUAAAGUUAACAGUUAAUUGUUGUAGUUAAAAUUUCAAUCAAUUAAGGCACGGUGUAGCGUUUGUUUACCUCAUCCUUUAACCAUGUGGUUGAGGGUUCAAUCCCCACGUAUGGGAAUAAAGCACAUUUCAUGCUCAAUUAUUUACCUAUUUGGAGAGCACUCAUAGUGAGGAGAUUAAACCUUGUUAUUGCUGGUGAAUACCCUAAUUAUGACAAAUAAAAAAUAACAACUACCAUUUUUUUUGGAUUAUUUUUGUCAAGUGGUGAAAAUUAUUUUAAUUUUUAUUAAAAAUCAUAUAAAAAGUAUAAAAAUUAUACAAGAAUUAUAAAAAUGCAUAAAUUAGAAAAAAUAUAUAUAAAAAAAUCUAUUGUGAAAACAUAAAAUUAUAGAAAUAUAAUUGCUCCCCCAAAUUCCAUGUUUCCUCUAACUCGUCUAACUGGAUUCUCCCUUAGAAUCAACUUAUUUGGAUUGUGAAAAUCUCCAUCCGAUAUUGAGCAAUUUGCACAAAUGUUGGUAACAUUUUAUAAAAUUAUUUUUUUUGUAAAAAAAAAAGUGAAAAGAAAAUCCAAUUAUAUGGAAUUGGUUUAUUCUCUAUGCAUGUGGAUCACCAUUUGAACAAGCAUAGACGACAAGGUGGACUCGUGAAAAGAAAACAUUUGUUGCAUCAUUGUUGUUUCCAUAUUCUCGCCUACCCAAAGCAGAAAUAAAGGGUGAAUUUGGCAUAUUAGCACCAUUUCUACCUCCUUUCUCCCUCUAUAUAAACCUCUUCCCACCCAAGCUGCCAUUGCCAAAACCCAUCAACUUCACCUCUAUUCUUCUUACUUGAGACCUAUAUUUAGUCUUGAAAUUUGACUCUGAAAAUGGGUUUCGCAUUUGCAUAUCGACUUAUCUUAGUCGUGGCAGUUGCUUCCGUGUUGGGAAUAAGCCUGGCAAAUAAAGACUGGGGCUCCCCUAAUUCCAACUACACUGGUUGGGGUUGGGGCUGGGGCUGGGGCUCCUCGAAGUCUAACCACACUGGUCAAGGCUUUAAUAACCAUCCCGUGAAUGAAACUCAAGGACCCAAAAAGAUAAUUGUUGGUGGAUCAGAAAACUGGCAUUUCGGCUUCAACUACUCCGAUUGGGCAUUCAACAAUGCACCCUUUUACUUCAACGAUACUCUAGGUGAGUCCAUAAUAUUACAUUUUACAAACCAAAGAAAUGGGAAGCUACCUUGUUUUUAUAUUUAUUUGCUGAAAUAAAUGAUGUUUUGAAUUGGUUUGCGUAGUGUUCAAGUACGAUCCACCAAGCAACACCACAUUCCCUCACAGCGUUUACUUGUUUCCCGACCGAUGGAGCUACUUGAAUUGCGACUUAAAGAGAGCGAAGAUGGUGGCAAAUGCAACCCAAGGCGGUGGCGAUGGGUUCGAGUUUGUGCUCAAGAGGUGGACACCCUAUUACUUUGCUUGUGGUGAACGUAAUGGCUUCCAUUGUAAGGUCGGCAGCAUGAGGUUCAUGGUGAUGCCACUCUUUCGUUGGCAUUACUAGAAUACUUGGGAGAUGAUCACAAAUUAAGGAAUAUCGACAUCCAAUAUAACAAAGAUAUUUAGACUUCGAUGACAAAAUUAAUGUGUAAUCGUUUCUUAAAAUGAUGAAUAAUUUAACUGUCAUCUUAUUAUUUAUUUUAUCAAUAAUUUCGUUACAGGUUUUUUUUUUUACACAAUGUUUAGAAUUAUCUAUAGUCUCUUUCUAACCUAUAAAUAGGAAAGUAAUGCGCUUUAACACACUCGAAUUCACAUCCUCCUGCAUUGACAACAAUAUCCAUGCCAAUUGAAUUAAAACUCAAUCGACUUCUUAAUUUAUUUCAAAAGAAAAAAAUACAUCUUUAAUUUGGACCUUUACUUAGUUAACUAAUUUAAAAGACAUUAAAUCUUCUUUAAUUCUACAGUGAUCUGUAAGUUUGAACAUCCAUUUGCCAUGUUAAUGUUAAGUGAUAUAUAUACGGGGCUUAUAGGGAUAGAAAGCCUUUAAGAAAGAAAAUUUUAUGCCCUUCAACUUAAUUCACACUCAAUUAAGUUGUUAUCCUUAAUUCACACUCAAUUAAGUUGUUAUCAUUAAUCCAAAAAAUUAAUUAAGUCCCUUAAUUGUUGAUUUUCAUCUUUGAUCCCGUUGAUGAUUAAAAUUAGCUAAUCGGAUGGCGGUAUUUACCUAAUUCAUAUUUAAUUUUUUAUUUUUCUAAUAAAAAUUAUUAAAAAUUAUAAAUACAAUGUCAAAUUUACCCUCAAUGUUUGCAUUUUUAUUAAUUUAGUCCUUAUUUUGUUUAAACUAAAUUUAAUCAUUAAUCUUUCAAAAAGAGUUAAAUCGCUCUUUUUUUAAUGAAGAUGUUGACUAAAACACUGAUUUUUUAAUGAUGGUGCGACAACCCGCGUUAUAUUUUGUACUUCAUAUUGACAUGACAUUAUUUGCCUUUUAUAUUACGUCAAUAAAUGAUUUAAAAUUUAUAAAAAUAUUAAACAAAACUCAAAAUUUAAGAAAUUAUAAAAAAAUCAUAAAAAAAAAUAAGAAAAAUAGUAUGAAAUACAUUUAGAUUGCCACGUAAGCUAUUAUGUUUAAAAUUUUAACAUUUUAAUUAGUAUUUUCAUUAUUUUUGUUAAAAAAAUAACAACUCCAUUCUUUUCGAAAAGUUGAUUAAAUUCGUUUUUUUUUAAAGGUGAAAUUUAACUUGCAAUUGGAGAAGGAGGAGUCGCUAUAUAAGCCAAGGUGAAGGUGCAACAAAGGGUAUUGGGUUCAUGCAAUGCAUUGGGUUAAAAAAAUGUUUUUUCCGAGUUUUUAUAAUUUUGUAUGAUUUUUCUUAUAAUUUUUUUUAUUUUUAUAAAAAAAAUAAAAGAUUAAAUCUGAAGUUACCAUUUAUCUAGGUUGAUUUUAAUAAUCAACAAAAUCAAUAACGGAAGAGUUAACAGUAAAAUUUGAAUGGUUGCAAGGGGCUUAAUUAUAUUUUUAAUUAUUUUUGGUUUAAGAGCUUUUUAGAGGGAUGAGUGGGAAUUUCUAUUUAUUCAAUCAAAGUAGAGUACAAACAUGGCAUAAUGAAGUCCCAAAGCAUUAGAAAGUGCAAGAUCGUGGAACCUAAAAGUUACUAUUCCUGGCUUAUAGUUGAAUGUUUUCGAAGCCAAAGUUUGAAAAUGAAAAUGACAAUCAACAGGUAAAGCUGUCAUUAUUACAUCACAUAAACGUAUGACUAACUAUGUCCUGUCAACCCCAGAUCAAAGUAUGGCACUUUUCACAUUUUGUUAUGGUAGUGGAGAAGACGUAACACAAUCCAAGAACUAAAACUGAACUGAAUGAUCAAAGGCAAUUUACAAAAUUCCCCACCUACCACCAUUAGCCAACGGCGGCACCUCGGCUCACCCACCAUCACAAUCAUAUGAUUUUUCACACUGCUUCUAAACUUUAACUGUUAAUGGAAACACAAGGAAAUGGUAAACACAGUUCAAUGCUCUCUGACCAAUAACUUUUAAAACCCAAGAAAAACCAACGCCAACCCAUAUAAUUCCCAAACCCAAGCAAAAUCAACAUUUAAAAUGGGUUUAGUUUCAGAAUCUUUUAAGGCAGUUUGGAGUUUGGUAUCAAUAUGAGAAAAAAAAAACAAAGAUUUAAGUAUCAAUGUGGAAAACAGGUAUAAUUUGAAGGCUAAAAUGAGAAUAAAGCCAAAUAUUUGCCAUAUCAUUGCUGUUUCCAUUUUCUCGCCUACCCAAAGCAGAAAAAAAGGUCAAUUUGGCACAUUUGCACCAUUUUCCACCUCCUUUCUCCCCUUUAUAUAAACCUCUUCCCCAACAUGCCAUUGCCAAAAACCAUCAACUUCAACUCCAUUUUCUUUUAGCUGAAUCUUAUAUUGAGUCUUGAAAUUUGACUCUGAAAAUGGGUUUCACGUUUGCAUAUCGACUUAUCCUAGUUGUGGCAACUGCUUCCGUGUUGGGAGUAAGCCUGGCUAAUAAGGACUGGGGCUCCCCUAACUCCAACUACACUGGCUGGGGUUGGGGUUGGGGCUCCUCUAAGUCUAACCACACUGGUCAAGGCUUUAAUAACCAUCCCUUGAAUGAAACUCAAGGAUCCAAAAAGAUCAUUGUUGGUGGAUCAGAAAACUGGCAUUUUGGCUUCAGCUACUCCAAUUGGGCAUUCAACAAUGCACCCUUUUACUUCAACGAUACUCUAGGUGAGUCCUUAAUAUUACAUUUUACAAACCAAAGAAAUGGGAAGCUACCUUGUUUUUAUAUUUAUUUGUUGAAAUAAAUGGUGUUUUGAAUUGGUUUGCAUACGUAGUGUUCAAGUACGAUCCACCAAGCAAUACCACAUUCCCUCACAGCGUUUACUUGUUUCCCGACCGAUGGAGCUACUUGAAUUGCGACUUAAAGAGAGCAAAGAUGGUGGCAAACACAACCGAAGGCGGUGGCGAUGGGUUCGAGUUUGUGCUGAAGAGGUGGACACCCUAUUACUUUGCUUGUGGUGAGCGUAAUGGCUUCCAUUGUAAGGUCGGCAGCAUGAGGUUCAUGGUGAUGCCACUCUUUCGUUGGCAUUACUAAAAUCUUGGAGAUUAUCUCAGAGAAAGAUCGACAUCCAACAUAACUCACAUAUAUAUAGAGUUUUAUUUCACUUUGUUGACAAAAUUAAUGUGUGAUUGUUUCUUAAUAUGGUUGAGAAGCUACUAGUUUGGUUUAUUUUAUGUUGUAAUGAUGCAAAAUAAGCCGUGUUAUAAUUGCACUUAAAGUUUAUAUUGAUGAACAAAUUAACCUUUCUUAAUUUGUUUCAAAGAAAGAAGUUUAAUGAGGGCAAUCUCUUUAAUUUUAUACUUUACUCAUUUAAAGUAUUAGAUACUUUUAAAUCUGCAAUAUUUAGAAAUUUGUUUAAUAUCAUAUAUUAUUAGAGUUAAUACAUUAAUAAUCAAAUAUUUAAGUUUUUAUAGGUGAAUGAAUCACAAGUAAAGUGACAAAAGAUCUGCAUUCAAAUAAUCAAUUAACACCAAUCUCGAGUUCAAUCUUGAACAACAUUAACCCUUACAGAAAAAGAUUUUGGAUACCAGCAUGGAAUUGAUCACUCAUUGACAUACAGGGGCAUAGCAAAAGGGGCGGGAGGGGCCUUGGCCCCCUUUGACUGGAUGGAUUAUUUGUUAUUUUAGUACUUUCUAAAUGUAAAUGGUUCAAUUUUUUAGCUUGUUUUAAAUAAAAGAAAUUUAAUUAUAGCCCUUUCAAAGUUUAAAAAAUACAAUUUAAAUCAUUUUAAUGCAAAUUUUUUAACUUUGACCCCAAUUUUUUUUUAGUUUUAUUUUUACUCCCAUCACAUAAUUCUUAGCCCCCAUUGGUAUGCUCAUGGAUAAAGGCAUACGACAGGGGCGAAGUUAGAAAAAUCUUUUAAAGGAGUAGAAAUUAAAUUGUAAUUUUUACGAUAGUAAAAAUGUAAUUUCACCAUUUUAAUAGCUUAUAUCUUUAUAAUUUUUAAAGAAUUAAAUCAAAUUUUUUUCAUUUAGAGAGAUUAAAAUAUAAUUUUAACUUUACUAAUUUAAAAAUUAUUUUUAGAAGUGAGGUACCCUUCCAUUAGCAUAUUAUACACUCCUUCGCAAAGAACUUGAUAGUGGCGAAGUUAAAGUGUUAAGGGUGUAGAAAAAGGCCUUGUCUGUUUUGAUUAAAUGAAAAAGAAUUUCCUUUAAAUCCUCUCAAAAUAGAAAUCAUUUAACUUAAUCCUUUUAGCUCUUGAAUGAAAUAAAAUAUUACAAAUUAGAGACUAGGCUACGGUUUAUUGAGGAAAAAGAGAAAGACAAUCAAUCGAGUUACCUCCUAUGACCAAGUUACCUCCGCUCCAAACGAGUUGAAUUCGACUCCAUAACAGACGGGGGACGUCUGAUUUCACCAAUCACUAUAGAACCUUCCAGAAUAUAAAGACUGACGGUUCUUUUACCUUUUAACAAAACGAGAGCUCCACGAGAUACUUUAAUGUCGGUCGACUCGAUGUUGAUUCUGCAUCCUUUCAAGUCUGAAAAACUCAAAGAGAUGAGAUUCUUUCGUAAAUUAGGUACAUACCUGACAUCUGAGAGUGUCCUAAUCAUCCCGUCGUGUAUCAUAAUUUUAACAGUACCAAUACCAAUUACCUUACUAGAUGAAUCGUUUCUUAUGCGCACAACUCCACCUUUAACCGAACUGUAUGUGGAGAACCAUUCUCUAUUGGGACACAUGUGGAAAGAACAUCUCGAAUCUAGGAUCCACUCGGACGUGAGCUUGGAGUUAUCGCUCAUUGACACUAAUAAGAAAUCAUCACUGCUUUCAUCGGCCAAAUUAGCACUAGCUACAUCUUCCUCGUUACUCUCAGCAGGUCUUUUAUUUUACAGUUUAUAACAAUUUGCUUUAACGUGACCUAACUUUUUACAAUAGCGACACCUUUUGUCUCGUUUCUUUGAUGCUAUCAAAAUGGAAGCUUGCCUAUCUGCCUUACUAUCCAAACCAAACUCAUUGUCGAGUUUGUCUCUACUCAACAAAUGACCCUUCACAUAUUGGAACGAGAGUUUGUCUCUGCCAUAAAUCAAGAUCUCCCUCAAAGACUUGUAUGAAUGAGUAAAGAGCACAAUAAUAGCAUAGUCUGAUCUUCAUCGUCAAUAUGAACCUCAAUGUUCUUUAAAUCAUUUAAAAGAGUAAUGAAUUGACUGAUGUGAUCUCUAAGAAGUUCACCUUCGUUCAUGCGAAACGUAAAUAGACGUUGUUUCAACACUAAACGGUUAGCCAGAGACUUAGUCGCAUAAAGAGUUUCUAACCUUUUCCACAAGGCAGAUGAGGUCUUCUCCAUCAACACAUCUUGCAAUACCGUAUUUGUGAGGCACAACUGGAUUGCAGAUAAGGCCUUUUCAUCAAGCUCUUCCCAUUCUGUUUGAUUUAGAUUCUCAGGCUUUUUUCCGAUAACAACCUUUUUCAAGCCGGUUUGAACUAGAAUUGCCAUCAUCCGAACUUGCCACAGAUUGAAAUUUGUCUCACCAUCGAACUUUUCAAUUUCAAACCUUAUUGCUACCAUCUCUGAAUGAGCUGAUUUAUGAAAAUUAAAUUAGCUCUGAUAUCACUUGUUAGGAUCGAUCCGAUUAAGUAACAAGUAAAAAAAUAACGGAAUAAAUUGAGAAAUUGAACACACAAAUUUAACGUGAAAAAACCUCUCCAAAAGGAUAAAAAAAUCACGGGCAAAGAUAAUUUUAUUAUAAUGGCAAAAGAACAAAAAGUACAAAAGAUGAAGAUAAAAACUAAACUCCAAAAACCCAAAAACAAAGAACCCUUAAAACGUAAAUACAAAAUUCUCUAAAUAUAUUAUGAGUUCUAAUCUCUAAUGGGUGUAUUUUUUAAGGUUGUAAAAGAGCCUAUUUAUAAGCUAAAUUAAUAGGUCAAAUAAUAAUAAAAUAAUCUCGCCUAAUUAGAGUUUGAUUGAAACAAAUAAACAGAGUUUAACUGAAAGAUUAUUUCUCAAAUUUGACUGAAAUAGGAGUCAUACUCAACACUAAGAAACUGGCCCAUUAUGCCUUUCUUGGGCAGAGCUUAAAAGUAAAUCAUCGCCACCUUCUACUCUAAUUAUUGUAGUGGAACAUUUACAAACUUAUACUUUUUUGCAGAAUAUGAUUCCAGCAGUAGUUGCUAGCAUUGAAACCAUGCUUGAGAAAUGGAAAAGUAAGGACGGCAAAAAGAUAGAAGUGUUCCAAGAGUUCAGAUUAUUGACUUCAGAAGUGAUAUCCAGAACCGCCUUUGGUAGCAGUUACUUGGAAGGGGAGAAGAUUAUUGACAUGUUGAUGAAGUUGACAGUAAUUGCAGGCAGAAAUAUUUAUAAAGCAGAGAUUCCCAUCAUCAGGUAACGUCAUCAAAUCUUUACUUUGCUAAUCAACAUACUUCAGCCGCCAAUGGGUUGAUUUAAUCUGGUUUUCCUUUUCAGCAAGUUUUGGAAAUCUGCUGAUGAAAUUGAAUCAGAUAAAAUUGCCAAAAUGAUACAUGAUUCUGUUAUAAAGAUUGUUAAAAAAAGGGAAGACAAAGUAGUCACUGGAGAAGCUGAUAACAUCGGUCGUGAUUUUCUGGGAUUACUUGUAAAUGCUUAUCAUGAGGCGGACCAGAAAAAUAGGCUUUCGAUACAAGAUUUGGUAGAUGAGUGUAAAACUUUCUAUUUUGCUGGGCAAGAAACAGUCAAUUCCUUGCUUGCAUGGGCAACCCUGCUUUUAGCAAUACACACCGAUUGGCAAGAUAAAGCAAGAGCAGAGGUGAUUGAGGUCUUUGAUAAUCAAAACCCAGAUUCUGAAGGGAUGGCCAAAUUAAAGACGGUAAGCAAACUAUACAAAUUCAAUAGCUUGAAAACUAACAGUGAACAUUUAUAUUGCCUUUUGGAUUUCUUUUUCUCCAACAGAUUACCAUGAUUAUCAAUGAAACUUUACGGCUCUAUCCUCCUAUAAGUGGCGUGAUAAGAAAAGUAGGAAGAGAAGUCCGAUCAGGAACACUUGUCCUGCCUAUUCAUUCAGAGGUCGACAUGCGAAUCAUAGCACUUCACCAUGAUCCUGACUUAUGGGGAGAUGAUGUUGAUCUUUUCAAACCAGAGAGGUUUGCUGACGGCUGAAACUACUAAGUACAAUGCAGCUGCAUUUAUGCCCUUCGGAUUGGGACCUCGAUCUUGCGUAGGCAUGAGCUUUACAAUCAUUCAAGCGAAAAUUGCACUUUCCAUGAUUCUGCAACGCUACACUAUCAAUCUCUCCCCUAGCUAUGUUCAUGCACCUUUACAACGUCUUACACUCAGGCCACAACAUGGGAUUCAGGCCACAACUUUUUUUUUGUUUUAAAAUAUAAUUUCUUUCCUAACGAUAUAAUUUGUUUAUCUAAAAGUGUUUUAGCUAUAAUAAAAUUUGUUACAAUAUCUUUAACACAAUGGUAAUAGUUACAAAUACUAUUACGCAACCAUAGUAUAUUGGUUGCAAAAUAAAAUUUGCAACAAUGUAAAAUUAAAUUUGCUAAGUUUUUUACGUAACAAUAAUAAUAUUGAUUACUAAAUAUUAUUUUGUAAGGAUAUUUUAUUUAGUUGUGUAUUACAUUGUGCAAUGAUUAUAUUUCAUUGUCAAAAAAAUAUUUUAACAACCAUUAAACGUGGUUAUCAAAUCAUUUACGUAACAAUAAUACUAUUUGUUGCUGAAUAUUAUUUUGCAAUAAUGUUUUAAUUGGUUGUGUACUAAUUACGCAACAACUAUAAAAAUUUAUAAAUUGAGUUCGGUUGUUAAAAUAGGAUUCGUUAACUCGACUAAUUCAAAUUUUUUUUACUCGAUCGAAUAUUCACCACUAUUUCUAAACUAUAAUAAUGGAAACUCGUUAAGUCAUAAAAAAUUCAAGUAAAUGUUUUAAACUUGAGUUUUAUGAAUACAAAAAAUAAUUUUAAAAGCUAUUUUAAAUUAUAAAAUUUAUUUGGUAUAAAUUAAAAUUAAAUACAAAAUAUAAUUAGAUUGUUUGAUAAAAUAUAAUAUUUUAAAAAUUUAAAGGUGGGGUAUUUGAAGAAUUUAAAAGAGAUAAAAUAAAAAUAAUUGAAACAAAUUCUACAUUAAGAUAUAAAUAGUUAUUUAUCUACUUUUCAGUUUCCAUAUCUUUUCGUAGAAAAAUCCAAUCAUUUGUUUUUUAUUAUGAAUCAUCAAACUUGCUUAAAAACAUAAAUUAUUAGUUGAUUUAAUUUUUUUUAAUUGAUUAUCAAACAAGCCCUUGAUUCAAGUGCCAUUUAUGUCAAAAAAGUUUUAAGUAAUAGUAACAUAAACAUUCAUUUUAUAACAAUAAAGUUAAAGCCACGAAUAUUUUCAAAAAAAUUCAAUUAAGCCCUUGAAUGUUAAAAUUUCAAUCAAUUAAGCUCUUUGAUAGUUAAAGUUAACAGUUAAUUGUUAUAGUUAAAAUUUCAAUCAAUUAAGGCACGGUGUAGCGUUUGUUUACCUCAUCCUUUAACCUUGUGGUUGAGGGUUCGGUCCCUACUUAUGGAAAUGAAGCACAUUUCAUAGUCAGUCAUUUACCUAUUUGGAGAGCACUUAUAGUGAGGAGAUUAACUACUGUUGUUGUUGGUGGAUACCCUGAUUAUGACAAAUAAAAAAUAACAACUGUCUUUUUUUUUGGAUUAUUUUUGCCAAGUGCCAUGCUAAGAUUGUGCCACGUGGUAUGAAAUUAGAAAAAUCAUAUAAAAAUUAUAAAAGAAUUAUAAAAAUGAAUAAAAUUAGAAAAAAAUAUAUAAAAAAUCUAUUUUUAAAAGGUUAAUAAAUUUUAUAUUUUAUUAUUUUUAAAAGGAUAAUAAAUUUUUAAAAGGUUUUUUUUAUUCUUAUAUUUUUAAGGGCGAUUUAAAUUUAAUUUCAAAAUAGGGCAUGCCUAAUAUAUAAAUAGACAUUUAAUUGGUGUCCAAGAGGAAUGGCGUCACUCCUAUUUUUCAUCUAGUUUAAAAAUAAUAAUUACUUCAUCAGGUAUCUGAACAUUUUAUAUAAUUUUUUUUCAGUUCGAUGUCACCAAUAACAACGACGACACCCAAAAUAUAUAUUUUUUAAAACUACCAAUGACAAUGAGUCACCGACAUUUACUGUUUAAAAUGAGUUUCAAAAUAAGUCAUUUUUAUAAAUAAUUAAAAGUUUUGGGUAUUUUUAAUAAAAAAGCCUAAGUUUGAUGAAUGGCGUCAGCCAUUAUGUAGGUCUACUUAAUACGAAAACGACGGCUUGGUUUUGUUGGCCAAAAGGAAAGUACCUUUUGGGUUUUGCUUUGCCCAAAUGCUAGCAAAGUCUUUGCAUGCAUUUGUUUGAUUGGAAAAGUGAGAAAUAGAUGAACAUGGUAAGCACAAAUUCUAGACAUUACCAUAUCACCUAUAAAAUUUAGUUAUCUUUUUAAUUUCUUUUGGUGUAUUAUAAAAAAAAAUUCUAAUAACACGACUUGAAUCAAAUCAUAUCUUAGUCAAGAGAUGGGGUUAUUUUAAUUUUUGUCUAUAAAAAGAAUCUUGUUCAUUGAGGGCCCUAGUAGGAGGUAUUGAAUAAGAACUAGAAGUCAAAUCCUGCACGCUUCCCAUUUCUGUGUAUUGAAUUGGCUGUAAUUUUCAAAGGACAUGAACCUUGAAGAGGGACAAGUGUAGUCUCUUGAUGAUAAAUGUGUUGACUGUCACCUUGCAAAACCCAGAUUACCAUAACAGGUGCAAAAUCUGAUCGGUGAAGAUAAGAAAAUGGAGACCAUGGGAAAUCUUCUAAUCCUGUUUACAGCUUCUUUAUGCCUCUACCUUUUCGUUGCUUUGCUCAAUGUUUUCUACAAGUAUUGCUGGAUACCUCAACGGGUACAGUUCAUCAUGAAUUCACAAGGAAUCAGAGGACCUCCUUAUGAAUUUAUCCAUGGAAACAACAAAGAAGCUGCCCAAAUGCUCAUGGAAGCAUCUACCAAACCUAUGGCCUUGACACACGAUAUAUUUCCCAGAGUCAUGCCUCAUGUUUACUCCUGGAUCAACAAAUACGGUGAGAAUAUGUUUUUUUUUCCUUUCUUGGGUAGUAUUUUCUGAUUAACCUCCACUUUCCAUGAAGAGAAAUCAUUUUCUUUCAGGGAAGACUUAUCUUAGUUGGAAUGGAAUUCGAGCUCAACUGCUAAUUACAGACCCAGAUCUAGUCAAAGAGGUCCUUAAAAACAGUGACAAAGCUUUUCGAAAGCCAAAGGCUUCAUAUUUCUUCGACAAGCUACUAGGCGAUGGGCUUGCUUCAACCGAACGUGAGAAAUGGGCAAGGCAAAGGAAACUGGCCAAUUAUGCCUUUCAUGGGGAGAGCUUAAAAGUAAAUCAUCUCUACCUUCUAAUCUAAUUAUUGUAGUGCGACAUUUACAAACUUGAUAAUUUCUUGCAGAAUAUGACUCCAGCAGUAGUUGCUAGCGUUGAAACCAUGCUUGAGAAAUGGAAAAGUAAGGAGGGCAAAGAGA
This 59838-nucleotide long non-coding RNA is filed under the name Gossypium raimondii (Peruvian cotton). RNAcentral describes it as "long non-coding RNA (GRAI_LNC010254)". Lineage: Eukaryota; Viridiplantae; Streptophyta; Magnoliopsida; Malvales; Malvaceae. The record is from RNAcentral.